UAAUUAAAGAGAAAGAAUUAAGUGAUGUUGAUAUAUUUAAUUGGAUCGGUGUGCUCAAACCGGUUUGUGCGAAAUGACAAUAUGGUUAAUGUCCUUCGCAAAAUCAUAACACGGCGAAGUAUUCUAUUAAUAUAUUGUAUCUUGGUGGAAUAACGACAUAUACAUGUCGAAUCCAUUAAUUUAAUUAUUUUAAAACAAUGGAACUAAAGUCUAAACGGUAGCAACAGAACUAUAUCUACAUAUCACAUGGAUUACAUUGAAAUCAAAUAACAACCAUUUUAAAUUAACAAAUCCAGCACAAAAUAUUUACAAUAUCUAAAAGGUGCAAGGUAUUUGAUGGGCUUAAGGAAUAUCAACCGAAUACUUCAUCCAAAUUCAAUUUCCACAAUGAUAAAAUGAAUUAAAAGAUUGAUACAGUAAAUAAUAAUAAAACAAUUUUCACUUUCUAAACUUCAUCAAAUUAAAAUAAAACAAUAAAUUGAGAAGAAAAAAAAAGUUAAUGGGUGUCUUUCUCCUAGACGUUGUUCCUGCAUUUUCGUACUCUCCUUUUCGAAUAAUCAACAUCAUUUGCUUAAAAUUUGAUUUAAUAACCUAAUCGAACUAAUAAAAAUUAAUUAUGAAACUAUUUGAAAAUAUAUAUAAGCAAAUAAACAACUUAAGGAAUACAUAUUAAAUAUCCAACUUUAAGCAAUGCGAAAUAAAAUGAAUCGCAUCACAGACACAAGCAUGCUUAUAUCAUUCCUACGAUAUUUACAGCAUAAGGUACACAUCAAUGAACCUAAUUUAUUAUAUCCAACCUAUUAUGACACUUAAAUAUUUAAACAAUAAUUCCAUGUAAAUAUAAAAUAAAAGGAUCAGUAAAACAAAAUAAGCAAAAGAAUGUUGGUUUGACUUUUCAAACAUUUUUAAAAAACAUAAACCCAAAUUCACUUUAGAAAAACACAUAAACUCAGUGACAUAAUAAUUUGUUUAAAGCAUAAAAGAGAAAGGAAGUGAACGAUCAACCAGAGCAAAACAGAGUGCGAAGGCAGAAGAUGGCGGUGCAAAGGAGCUUUACACCGACAAUGAGGAGUUACUCUGAAGGUUGUUUGAUUAAGACUUGGGAGUCGCCGACGGUUUGGAUGAAGGAGGUUGUCGUUGGAGUUCGGCUUGUGAGUUGCGAAUGUGGCUUUAAGUCUUCACGCCAUGAAUAGUGAAGUUCAUGUGUUGUUUAUGGUGAAAGUGAAAACAUGUGGUUAUUGUUGUGGCUACAAGGAGAAUGCGGCGAUCGGAAAUGGAGUAAGUGGUUGUGUCGUUGAGUUGUGGUGGUACGGCGGAGAAAUUAUGAUGUAGACGGUGGUUUCCGGAAGAUUAUAGAUCCGGAGGUGGGUAUGGGUUUUUAUGGUUAGUGGCGGAUGGAAAACACAGUGGAAGAAAUGGGGAGGUUUUGCCGGCGAAUAUUGGCGGUGACGGAGGAAUGGAGAAGGUGCGGCGGAUGCGCGUUGAAGGGAGAAUGUGGGUUGUCGUUGGGUUUGUCCAUGGCGGUGGCGGUGGAGUAAGGUGAGAGCGUUUGUGGUCCGCGGAGGAAGAAGAUGAACAGUCCUUUUUUAGUGGACUCCGCUGCCUUUUUCUUAAUGGAGCCUCUUGACCUUUUAUUUCUUUUCUGCAUUUUUCAGCUAGCUCCUCCCUCUCUUGACGUGUCAUCCUUUAAGUGGAUGGCCUUAUCUUUAUUUCCAGCUUUUCUCUUCUUGUUUUUUUGGCCCGUUAGAAUCAUGGCGUUGGAUAACCGCGUGGCACUUUCUCAUUGAAUGGAGAUAAAAUACCUUUGUUGGAGACAGGCUGGCCACGUUCCCCUUCAAUACCAAUCCUAAAACCAAUUUUGUUUUCCCCUUUCAUUGGGAGUUGGACGCGUGGUUGAGGAAUGGGCUCGAAGGAGAAUCCAAUGCAGAUGCUUCCAUCACCCUUUGUUAUUUUGAAUAGCAAUUAAAAUAUAAAAUAAAAUUAACCACUUAAAAUAAAGUCAAGUUAAUCACCCAAUUAAUUCUAAUUAAUUCAAAUGACUAUUUUGGCUAAGAGAUAAAAAUAAAUGGAUCAAUGAUGAAUAAAAGUCAGGCAUAAAAUUUACUCAAAAAAUUAAAUCGGAUGCACUAAAAUGAUCAGCACGAAACAUACUUAUUGGAAAAAUACAGCGUUUCUUUUAAUUUUGAAAUAAAUUUUCACCGGUUAAAAGGCUCAAAUGGAUUAAAAUGCAGCUGAAAAAGUCAUUGAAAAAUAUAACGAGCACACCAGGCUGAACUGCGCGAAGUGUAGAUUAAUAAUACUGGCGUCUGUAAGCUUAAUUUCGAAACUUUUUACCCGCUGAUUUUGCACGUACUUGAGAAGUGAUUUAACCAAUUUAUCUGUGUAGCGGGGUAUUCGUUACCUUUAGAUUUAUUGACUAAAUAAAAAGUAAAUCAUACAAUUCGAGUCGCCACCGCACUUCUAUUUAUCCAAAGGAAAGGUUAGAAAGCGAACAAAAACUGAGAAGUUUAUCGAAUCAAAAACUAAUAAAAAUGUCAGAGAUCGGGGUAAGGGGGUUGGUUAUGCAAUGGGUAGGUUUUAAGCACCCAAAACAUCCUAGGUACUCCUAGGGAGCCCUUUUCACAAUUUGUUGUAAGGUAGGUUGGUAUUUGGAAAAAAUUAUUUGUACAAACAUGAUUGGGGAGAUGAGAGAAGAAUGUACAAAUUAUUUACAAUUUUGUGUUUGAAUGGAUAAACCCAUUGCCUACGUACUAUCUUAAAAAAGGAUUAGGAUCAAAACCUCGUAGUUCGGGAUAAAAAUCUCAAAACAAGUUGGUGAAUUGAUUGGUCCAAAAGCCUCAAGGUCUUUUGUUAUCCAAGGGAGAAAACUCGACCUAAAACCACAAAUCCACCAUGUGAGGAUAGCUUCAACAUGCUAGUGAGGGGUUAACCCUAUAAUAAGCAUGGAAGACUCAUUGUCCAUCACUAAGGAUAUAGGUGAGUAUUAUAUUAACCUCAAGGAUAACUCAAACCUAAUAGCUAAUGGUUAUGAAAAGUUUUGAUAAGAAGUGGCCAUUGAAACCACAAAACAUUUGAAUGAGUUGUAUUUACCAAUGAAAAGUAUUUACAAAAUAUGGUCAAAGUUGACUUAAGGGUUCAAUUCAAAAUAAGUGUUAUGAAAGGAAAGUUUGAAAAUCAAAAGCAUAAUGCUUAGGUUUCUAAUGUUUGAAAACAAAUGCUAAUGUUUGCACAAAAGUUUUGGUUUGGGUUAGAGUGGAGGGAAGAAGAAGAAUGGCUAAGUCCUAAACAUACAAAGAUGAAGGAAAAGAAAUAAGACCACAAAUGGAGUUUUCUUCUUGAGAUCAUAGUGAUGAUCCAAGUAGCUCCCAUCCUUUGGAGUAAGCAAGCAAAUAAGCAAAUACUCAAGCAAUCAAUCAAUCAAGCAAGCUCUUAGGAAUCUUCUAAUGGCUCUUGUAUCUCUUACUUUAGAUGCACAUGACAACGGAUCUUCAAUUUGGCUCAAAUGGGAAUCCCUAGCAAAAGAACACACACAUCAAAAAAUUCCACAAAACAAACAAAGAAUGGACAAGAGUGAGUUUAGAGAUUAGGUCAUUCUAAUUCAUCUUCAACAUUAAGUCCUUUUUACUCCAUUUUUGCAUAGGGAAUGUCCUAAAGUCUAAGUCCUUUUGUCCAUUUGAAUUUGGUUCACAACAAUCAAAACAAAACACAAGCACAAUAGUAUAUACACAAUUAUGUGCUCAAGUGAGCAAAAGGCAAAUUGCAUUAACAUAAACAUGUGCUCAAAUGAGCAAAGGGCAAAAGCAAAAGUGAGCAAAAGGCAAAUUGCAUUAACAUAAACAUGUGCUCAAAUGAGCAAAGGGCAAAAGCAAAUGAAUAAUAUGUACAAGAAUAUUAAAUUGCAUUAAUGUAAAGUGCAAGAAUUAAAUGUUAAUGGUUAAUUGUUAGUGUUAGUGUGCCAUAAGGCAAUUUAGCGCUAUGUUAAGCAAUCGUAAGUGGACUAAUGUAGUAGUCACACCUAUCUGAGGCCGGUCAAUAAAAAUAUAGGCAAUAAACACAAGUUAGAGAUCUUGAUUAGUGAAUCAAGCUUCUACAACUUGCCAUGCCAAAAGAAAAGAAGGAUGAUCUUGUAUUGAUUUAGGUUUUCAUGCUUGAUUAGGAAGUAACCUAUCCUUAAUGCAAACCCAUUCACUUGAUCUUUGGAUCAAGAUGAAUUAGAUUUGAAUCAAGGAAGGUUAAAUCUUCCAUACAUCAAGGCUAACCAUCAAUCUUUAACUCAUUGAUCAAAAAGAAAAAGAUGAAGAAGAAGAUGGAUAAGAAUGUACAUUAAUGGAAUUCAAAUGAAGUAAGAAAAUUGGAUUGACCAAAGACAAAUGGAAUCAAGGUCAAACACUAGUAAACAAAAGCAAAAUGAAACUUAGAAGUUAAGAAACAAAUAAAAUAUUUUUGGUAUUUUUCAAAAUUGAAAUAAUACUUGAAUUAAAAUAAACAAUUAAAGGUCAAACUUCAAAUCCAUCUCAAAUCAACUUUGAAAAGUCCAAAUGGAUCAUCCUAAGUGCAACAAGGUCAAACAAAGUUUGACAAAAAAAAUUCAGCAUUUUUAGAAACCAGAAACUAUUUUUAAUCAAUUAAAAUGAUAAAAAAUAACCUAAUUGAAUUAAAAUCUCAAAUCAAUUAAUAAAUGGAUGAGAAUAUUUUUCAUAGAUCCAUCAUCAUUCAAAGAGGUUGAGAAAAUAUUUUUGUAUUUUUUGGAUAUUGAAAACUAAUUAAAAUGAAUUAAAAAUAACUAGAAAAGAGAAAAUUCAUAAAAAAUAUCAAAUAAUAAAAUAAAAAAUAUUAAAAAUCAUUUUUAGAAACUAGAAAUUAAAAGAGAAAUAGUGUCAUUGGUCUCAUAUUUUUUGGAAUUAAAAUGAGAGAGAUAUGAUUUUUUGAAAUAAAAUGAACUAAAAAAAAUAAAAUGGAUUAAAUCAGAAAAUAGGAAAAAACACACGCGUUGGAUUCAAUUCGUUAAAUGAUCUGGCAGAUCAAACGGCUGUGGCAUGCGUGCGCAUCAUGGACCUAAGUCAACUGAGCAACAUAAACUUUUAAAUAAAGUCAUAAGAUCCAAGAGCCUUGAUUCAAUCUGGGAAUCAUCAUCAACGGCCUGGACCAAAACUGGAAAACGGACGGUGGUGUAUACCACCAUCUUCUCCGGCGAGACCAGAGAUUCCGGCCAAAGUUGCAGAGAAAAAUUCUUAACCAAAUGAAGCGAUCCUCAUAUCAUUGGAAAGCUAGGGUGAUGUACAUCACCCCUGUACCAUUAGUUUCUCCUCUAGAUCCUCAUAGAGAGAGAAAUCAGAGAGAGAAAAUCAUGGUGUUCAAUCUGAACUUCAUGGAUUUGCAAAAUUAAAAGCACAAUUCGAAUGCCUCUGAUGAGAGGACUUCAGCCAAGCAAAGAAACACAAGAAACAAGCAAUAAUUAGGGAGUUUCGAAGAAGAAAAGUUUGAACAUCCACCUCUGAAAUAUGGAUCUGGAAAGCACAAUUCCUCUUAGCUACUGAUUGCAGUGUGAUCUAGAGAUGAAGAUGAAGCAAGGCCAAGGAAUUUUGAGUCUAAUAAUCAACCAAUGAAGUUGAAAAUCAGAUCUGAAAUUUUGAAAUGAAAGAGUGAAUUCCUUUAGGUAUGGCUAUGGAGGGAGUUUUGCAGCAUAACAGGUGCCUUCAGGUUAUUGAAUUAUGAAGCCUAGCACUCUUAUUUAUAGCAAUUGGCAAAGGCAAGCAUGAAAGUUUCAUGUGCAUGAAUGAAGAGGGCCUCCAUGCAUGGGCCUGUACAGGCGCAUGGAGGGCCCAAAUCCUAUUGGUUUAGCAAGCUUAACAUCAACAAAUGAGUUUUGGACUUGCAGAUGAAGUGUAAUUGGCUUAUGCAAUAAGUUUUCAAGUAGUUUCCAAAAAUGCACCAAAAUGUUCUCUUCUUCGAAAAUGCCUUUUUCCAAAAAGAAAACAUGGCCUUAUGGGUAAUGGUUGGAAAGCUCUUGACAUGAGGAUCAAUUGUUAUGUUGAGAAAAACUUCAUUUGGAAUUGGGAAAUUAGUGAAAAUUGGUCAUAAAGUGCAAGGUGCAAAACAUGUGUAUGUGAAAAUUUCCAAAAUGGGCCAACUUCAAGCCCUUCUAUUUCAAUGAUGAAAGCUCCAAAUGACAACACCUUCAAUAUAAAAGUUGUAGAUAUUUCCAAGACAAUCAAGGUUGACUCAAAUUGUGCAUCAUUUGGAUUUUUGAUGAGGAAGUUAUGGGCACUUGAAGUUAGACCUUUUCACAUUUCAAUGCCUUUGGUCCAAAGUGACCUAUAAUGUUUUGCAUUAUCACAUGUAUUUAUUUUAGGAUUAUGAAACUUUGGUCAACAUAACAAAUGAAGUAUACAUCUUAAACUUUCCAAUUCAUUUGAUCCCACCUCAAUAUCAUGAAAAAUGAAUGAGUUAUGUUCUUGGGAAGUUGACCCAAAAUUAGGGUUUCAGUCAAAAUGACCUAUAAUGUUUUGAAAUGGAUGAUGACCUUCCAAGCUUCAAAUAAAUUUUUGAUGAAAAUGAAAGUUGUUUAUAUGGUUCUUAAUAACAUUUUUUCUCUUGGAGUCAUCUCCAUUUGACAAGCACAUUAAAAUUUAGGUCUCAGUGUACUUCAAAAUAGUCAGAUGAAUUAACUGAUUAACUUCUCAAGUCCAAACCUCAUAUCUUGAUGAAUUGAUGAUUAAAGACACUCAAAUAAGCUCAAAUAUGCAUGAAAUGAUGAAUUAAAGGACUUCCCUUGAUUGUAUUUGAUCAUGGGUUGAGGUUGCUUCAUGGGCAAGGCACAGUUGAUGCACAUAUGAAUUAGGGUUUCCUUGGGAAACAAUCCUCAAACCCCUUCGUUUGCUUUGAUCAAAUUGAUAAAUUGAGAUACUUGUGAGGCAUAUAUGAUGGAUGAGAACCUUGUGAACCAUUAUCAUCCUUGCUUUCACCUUCACCUGGCCAUAUCAAUGAGCAUAGGGUCUCCUAGGAGCCUUGGAUCUUAUGAUUGCUCAAGCUACAAAACAAACAAAGUUAGUGACAUAUUUUUGUGCUUUUGGUUAGUAAACAAAAUAAGAAAAGCAAUAAUAUACAAUUCAAGCAUGCUUGGAUGACAUAUUUUUGUGCUUUUGGUUAGUAAACAAAAUAAGAAAAGCAAUAAUAUACAAUUCAAGCAUGCUUGGUGGUCUCAAACCAACUCACACAAGUUCCCACCCUAGGGUUAGGAACCAAGAUGCUAUGAUCCUUGAGGCAAAUGCAAAUGCAAUGAUAUGAUGCCAUGAGGGAUCUUAGGGUCAAAAUUAGGGUCGUACAGAUGUCCCUAUUUAAGGUCAUUCUAGCCAGAGAUGUGAAGAUUAAAAUCUUCGUCUCGACGAGGUAGAAUGGGCUUAAAUAAUAUCAAAGAGACGAAUUUUGGUCCCUAAGAGAUCUCAUGAUGCAAAUGUAUGUAUGCAAGAGGUAAUACUUUGCGGGGAUAUAUGUCCACAAAGGAAAAGAGAUCCAGAGAAACUGAAAAUCCAUAUGAGUAAUACACUCAUAAAUGGGACAGAGACUCUAGGGGGAUAAAGGGAAAUAGAAUGUGUGAGCAGGUCACGACUUGAAACUUGCUGGGAGACACGAAGGGAUUCCAUAAAAAUAAAUAAAUGGAAAGACUCGAUUUGACGCAACGAUGCAUGUAUUGGGGAAUAUGCCAAUACAGCAAAACUUUCGGCAAAGGAUACUUCGGAUAGAAAUCCGGACUGAGGCUAGGAAAAUUCAUCAAGGGACUCCGAUGGGGAAUGUCCCAAGAGGACUCAACUGAGGAAAAAGCAACUGAGGUAUUACCUGUUACUGGGUAAUAAGCUCAAAGAGACAUGUGAUCAAACACCGGUAUAAGGGUGAGAAAACAAACAUGCUCGGGGAUAAUGAAUAUCUAAGACCGGUAUAAGGGUGAGAGAUAUCAAUCAUCCAAAAUCAUCUGAGGAAGAUAGAAAAAGGUAUAUUUCAACUCAGGAAAAUCUGACUCCACAAGGGACAACAAGUCAUAAUAGGGAGCAGAAAGGAAAGAGCACCAGGGAUACCAGUUACUAGGCAUAUAAUAGGUGCCCAACCAAGCGUCAAUUGGGGAAUAUUCCCAAAACACUCAUCAUCCGAAAGGAGGGCUGAAAAAAGAAAACUCGAUUACAGGAUGGACAUUCGAUUCCAUAAGGAAAUACGAAUCUUACUCAAUUGGGGAAGAAAAAGACUUCGACUGAAGAGCGCAUGAGAUAUAUUAUCUAUUACCGUCAGAAUGUAGAUAAAAUACUCGCAUGGAAGAUUAUCCACAACCGGUUAUUGGGUUAAUAGAGGAUAAGUCAACCGAAAAGAAAUGACAUCGGGAUACCGAAUACCAUAUAUAAAAUGAUGAUCAAUCAAAGGGGAGAAACGAUCAUCACGAACAAAAAGAGGUGAAUGAAAGAUGACUCGCCGGGGAUACAUUGUUUGAUCAGAGCAAUUAUCCAAGAGAUAUAUCAUUGGUUACUGGGAGAUGUACUCAAAAGGUGGAGGAAUAUCGAUACCGAAUAUUGGAUAAAGAUAACCAACGAAGAGGGGAUUACAUCUACCGGUUACUGGGUAGAAAACCACAGAAGAGUAACCGUCAUCGGUUAGGAUGAACAAAAUCAAGGUUAACUAUUCAAGGGGAUAAGAUGGGGUUUAAAACUACCGGUAUGAGGAUAGAAAACCACAAAGAUAGGACUUAUGACUACCGGUUGCUGGGUAGAAGGCCACAUAAUUUCGUCGGGGAAAAGAUGGAUAAUUACUAGUUACUGGGCAAUCAUUCAUCUAAACCACGGGGAAAUGCGGGGGAAAUAACAAGAGGAGUCAAAUUAGGAACGAACUAGAGAGACACAAUGAAACAAAACUCAACCCUAUGAGGAUAUAACUCAGGGGAUAAAUUCCAUCCCAGUACAUAUUUUAGGGGGAAACUGAAAUAACAAUCAUCCACGAGGACAUAACUCAGUGGGGAAUGUGGAAGAAAGGGUAGACACUUUCUGCCUAUGGGGCUGACUCUAUAUGGAGAGAUCAGACACCAACAUUUACUUGGGGACAUAUAUACCACCAACUAGCAGGAGAUAACAAACAAAGAUAUAUGGCAAAGGAUGCAACAUGAAUAUCUGAAUGUUAUAAUUAUGCAUGUAUAUGUGUGGUUUAUGUAUGAUGAAUGCUGACAAACAGCCAUUUCUAACACAACCAGACCCAGGGAUCAAAUGGACAAACAUCUGGUACUACAUCUCGAAAGAGAAAGCCAGGUCCACCGGGGAAACUGCCAAUCUGACGGGGGCAAAAAAUACCAGGAAACAGUGAUCUCUGUAGGGGAAAGAGAAACAGUCACUCCGCUGGGAAGGAAUCAACACAUCUUCCUCAGAAAUUCCAACGCCACUCUGAAAUCAGACAAAGUCUUGGCUGGGGAACUGAACAUGGAUACGAUCCGUCGUGGAAGCAAAUGUAUUGGGGAAAUUAUCCAGGGGAAGGAUGAACCUCUGUGGGGAACAACCACCGAUCAAAAAGUUUUAAAACUAACUCAAAUCCUUGCACUGCUGGAUAAAUCAUCUCUGCCGAGGAGAAGAGACACACUACUCCACUGGGGAUGGAAAGAUAAAUAUUUACGUCACUCGCUCUGCUUAGGAGGAAACAACAGACAGGUUCUAGUGAAACACUGCUGAGGACUGACCAGGAACUACCUGUAGGUGAUCAGUUGGAGAUAUCCUGCUUGGUGACCAAACUGAGGAGCUGAAAUGGGAUCAACCCUGUUGAGGAUGAACAAAGUCAAACCUGCUGGAUAUUCAUGUAGGAGAAUCCGCGGGGGAAGCUACAAAUCAAAUUGUUGAGAAUUCCACUCAUGUUGGGGAUUUCCUACUCACUUUGCGGGAGAAUUCCAAUCUGAAUGAGGGAAUACCAACUCCCUCGAAAAGAUAGCAUAUCAAUUUAUCAAUUUAUAAGGGAUUUUAGGUCUAUCCACCCAAGGGAUGACAACCAUAUAAUUGAUAACAUAGAUGCUAGAUCCAGCCUCGCUGAGGAGUUAUAAGAUUAAGGCCAAACUCUCUGGGGAUUUUGUGGGAUGUUAGAGAUGUACUCCUCCCAACAAAAUGGGACCAAGGCUCCAGACUCUCUGGUGAACUUGGCGAUGCUUAACUUUCUUUUGCGCUUGCGGAGGAGACAAUCUGAAAGAUAAUGAAGAGGAUACAAGUAUGCUGUGAAUAUGAACAAAUGUCUUACCCUUUUGGAGAUCAUACUAUCCUUGGGAGAGCACUGAAGAUGUUCCAAUUAUCCUUUCAGUCAUUGUGAAUGUUCACUUUGUUUAAAACAGUUUAUGAUUUUUUUUUAAAACAAUGAUAUUUAUCAAUUAAAAUAUGCAAUAUUUGUUGAACAGAAACAAAUAAGACUGCAAAGAAUUAUAUAAAGGCUCAAAUUUAGUUGAUAGAAUGGUAGUCUAAAAAUGGCAAGACUCCAAGGAUCUUUACAAAUUUGAAAUUGGUGAUAUAUAUUGGAAAAGGGCUACAUUGAACAUAAUGACCAUUUCUCCACCAACUCCGAGUCCAAUGUAUUUGAAGCUUCAGUUGACAAUGACUGAGCGAAAUUCUCUGACAGAAGACAACUUGUAGAACAAAGUCUUGUCAGGAUGCAGUUACUUGCCAAAUCCCGAAUUUUUGCCUAGAAUGCCCCAAGGUGAGGUACUCAAUCUAGCGGGAUACAUAUUCAUUUUUUAUGUCUCUAACUUUUACCUGGACCGUCCUUUCAGGUUUUCAAUCCACCGAGACACUCAUUUUUGCCUAAGCCGCCCUUUCGGGUUUUCAACUUAGCGAGCUAUUCUAUUUUUAUUUUUAGGCGAAGUAUUUCUUGACUGUAUCUGAAUUCACAGGAUGAUUGAAAUCCUCCUCAUCCAUAGUUGUAAGUAUCAAUGCACCGCCUGAAAAGGCUCUCUUGACAACAUAUGGACCUUCAUAGUUUGGAGUCCACUUGCCCCUGGAAUCGGGCGCGAAAGACUAAACUUUCUUGAGCACAAGGUCACCUUCUCGAAACACACGAGGUUUGACCUUCUUAUCAAAGGCUUUAUUCAUCCUUUGCUGAUACAACUGACCAUGGCACAUGGCAGUCAAUCUCUUCUCUUCAAUUAAAUUCAGCUGGUCAUAACGACUCUAAACCCAUUCAGCCUCGAUCAACUUGGCUUCCAUCAAGACUCUCAUUGACGGGAUCUCCACCUCUACUAGGAGCACAACCUCCAUGCCAUAUACAAGGGAGAAAGGGGUUGCCCCUGUUGAAGUGCGAACAGAUGUACGAUAUCCAUGCAAAGCAAAUGGCAGCAUCUCAUGCCAAUCUUUGUAUGUAACAACCAUACAUAUACAAGGGAGAAAGGGGUUGCCCCUGUUGAAGUGCGAACAGAUGUACGAUAUCCAUGCAAAGCAAAUGGCAGCAUCUCAUGCCAAUCUUUGUAUGUAACAACCAUCUUCUGGAUAAUCUUCUUCAUGUUCUUAUUAGAAGCUUCAACAACCCCAUUCAUCUUGGGUCUAUAUGGAAAAGAAUUAUGAUGUGCAAUCUUGAACUCACUACACAGCUCUUUCAUCAUCUUGUUGUUCAAGUUAGAUCCAUUAUCAGUAAUGAUCUUAUUUGGCACACCAUAAUGGCAUAUGAGUUGGUUCUUGAUAAACUUUACAACCACCUGCCUGGUCACGUUUACAUAUGACGCCGCUUCAACCCAUUUGGUGAAGUAAUCAAUUGCUACGAGAAUAAAUUUGUGCCUGUUUGGAUGCUUUCGGGUCUAUCAUGCCAAUCAUAUCAAUUCCCCGCAUGGAGAAAGGCCAUGGUGAUGAAAUCACAUUCAGAAGUGUCGGGGGAAUAUGAAUCUUAUAUGCAUAAAUCUUAAACUUAUGGCAUUUCUUCACAUACUUGCAGCAGUCAGACUCUAUUGUCAGCCAAUAGUAGCCUGCUCUCAAAAUCUUCCUUACCAUGGCAUGUCCAUUGGAAUGAGUUACAAAUGAACCCUCAUGGACUUCAGUCAUCAAUAUGUCUGCUUCGUGUCUAUCCAUGUAUCUGAGCAAAACCAUAUCAAAAUUUCUCUUAUGAAACACAUCGUCAUUGAGGUAGAAACUGCCAGAUAAUCUCCUCAAAGUCUUCUUAUCUUUAACAGAUGCCCCAGGCGGGUAAAUCUGACUCUGAAGAAAACACUUUAUAUCAUAAUACCAUGGCUUAUCAUCUUUCACUUCUUCUACUGCAAAUACAUGAGCUGGUCUAUCCAAGCGCAUCAUAGUGAUAUUAGGAACCUCAUUCGAAAGUCUCACCACAAUCAUAGAAGCAAGUGUAGCUAGUGCAUCUGCCAUCCGAUUCGCAUGUCGAGGAAUAUGAAGGAAUUCAACCUCAGUAAAAAAAGUUGAAAUCCUCCUCGCAUAAUCUCUGUAUGGGAUGAGGCAAGGCUGAUUUGUCUCCCAUUCACCCUUAAUCUGAUUAACAACAAGGGCCGAAUCGCUAUAAACAUCAAGAUGCUUGAUCCUAAGAUCAAUACACUCUUCCAAACCCAUAAUACAGGCAUCAUACUCUACCAUAUUAUUCGUGCAUUUGAAAGUUAGCCUUGCUGUAAAAGGAAAAUGUGUGCCCUGAGGAGUAAUAAUCACUACCCCAAUACCAUUUCCAUAUUGAUUUACAGCGCCACCAAACACCAUGCUCCAUCGAGAACCAGGCUUUGGUCCUUCAUCGAGCGUAGGCUCAUCGCAAUCUUUCAUUUUCAAAUACAGAAUCUCCUCGUCUGGGAAGUCGUACUGAACUGAAUGAUAAUCCUCAAUUGGUUGAUGUGCCAAGUGGUCAGCCAAGAUACUACCUUUAAUAGCCUUCUGAGCCCGAUACUCAAUAUCAUACUCAGACAACAACAUCUGCCAACGGGCAAUCCUCCCAGUUAAAGCAGGCUUCUCAAAGACAUACUUGAUUGGAUCUAUUUUGGAUAUCAACCAAGUCGUAUGAUUCAACAUAUACUGGCGUAAGCGCUUAGCAGCCCAAGCCAAAGCACAACAUGUCUUCUCAAGCAUCGAGUAUCGAGACUCACAAUCAGUGAACUAAGUCGUAUGAUUCAACAUAUACUGGCGUAAGCGCUUAGCAGCCCAAGCCAAAGCACAACAUGUCUUCUCAAGCAUCGAGUAUCGAGACUCACAAUCAGUGAACUUCUUACUCAGGUAGUAGAUAUCACACUCUUUCUUCCCUGUUUCAUCUUGCUGACCAAGGACACAACCCAUAGAGUCUUCAAGAACUGUCAUAUACAUAAUAAAGGGUCUCCCUUCCACGGGAGGAGAUAGAAUCGGAGGCUCGGAAAAAUACUCUUUAAUACUGUCAAAGGCCUUCUGGCAAUCCUCGGUCCAAUCAUGACGCUGAUCUUUCCGGAGGAGCUUGAAUAUCGGCGCACAUGUGGUAGUCAUAUGGGAUAUAAAUCUGGAAAUAUAACUCAAGCGGCCAAGAAAACCUCGGACUUGUUUCUCAGUUUUGGGCGCAGGCAUCUCUUGUAUUGCUUUGACAUUGGCAGGAUCAACUUCAAUACCUCUUUCCCUGACAAUAAAGCCCAAUAACUUGCCGGAACGGACCCCAAAUGUACACUUGUUCGUAUUCAGGCGAAGCUUAUACUUCCUCAAAUGCUGAAAAAGCUUCAACAAGUGCUCAACAUGUUUAACUUCCGUUCUUGACUUCGCAAUCAUAUCGUCAACAUAUACCUCGAUUUCCUUAUGCAUCAUAUCGUGAAAUAAGGUGGUCAUAGCACGUUGAUACGUGGCUCCGGCGUUCUUCAAACUGAAGGGCAUCACUCGAUAACAGAAUGUUCCCCAAGGUGUGAUGAAUGUUGUCUUCUCCAUAUCCUCGGGUGCCAUUUUAAUCUGGUUAUAUCCGGAAAAUCCGUCCAUAAAUGAGAAGACAUUGAAUAUAGAUGUAUUAUCUACCAACAUAUCAAUAUGUGGUAGAGGGAAAUCAUCUUUUGGACUAGCUUUAUUCAAGUCUCUAUUGUCCACACACAUUCGGACUUUUCCGUCUUUCUUAGGCACGGGCACAAUAUUGGCCACCCAUUGAGGAUAUGUAGAAGUCACCAAAAACCCCGCAUCAAUUUGCUUCUGAACUUCUUCUUUAAUCUUCACUGCCAUGUCAGGAUGAGUUCUUCUGAGCUUCUGCUUCACAGGUACAUACUCAGGCUUCAAAGGCAGGAAAUGUUGCACGAUAUCAGUAUCCAGACCAGGCAUGUCUUCAGAUGACCAGGAAAAGACGUCGAUGUAUUCUCGUAGCAACUCAAUCAACCCCUUCUUCACAAAUUCUUCAAGGAGUGCCCCAAGCUUCACUUCUCGCACACAAUCUUCAAAUCCCAAGUUGACUGUUUCCAGAUUUUCAAGAUGUGGAUGAAUGAUCUUCUCUUCGUGCUCAAGUAGACGGGUAAUCUCGUCAGGAAUCUCUUCAACAUUAUCUUCUUCAGACUCAAAUACAGGGAACUCAAAGUUGGGAGAUGGUGUUGGAUCAUUAUGUUCAAUGAUUUUGGAUAUAAAAGAGAUUUCAGAAUUCAAGCAAGGAAAAUCAUUAUGCAGAUGAAAAGAUUGAUUUUAUUCUAUUUUUAGGGUUUUAUGUGAUCACCAAUUUCAUGCAAAAAAGCAAAACAUGAAAAUAAUUGGAAAAAACAAACAUUUAACAUGAAUUUAUUGAAUGAAAUAUCAUUGUAUUUAUGAGACAACAAUGUCAUCACUCCUCCUUUUGGCAUGGGAGAAGGGUUUUAAACAAAAGGUGAACUUUACGUUGACUUAUGGACAACUGUUGGAACAUCAACAACGACCCAGUUAUUACAGACCCCUCCAGGGAUGACAAAGUUGUCAGAAUCUUCAUCUGCAUCCUCUUCCACAAUAGCAGCGGCUUCUUCGUCUUGGACGGUGUGGAUGAAACCACCACUCUGAAACAGCCCAUGCUUGUUGAAAGUGCCCGAAGAAUACCCUAUGCCAGCCCAGGACUUGUUGUCUUCCAUCUUGAUCAUUUGUCCUAAACCAGUAGUUGUGCCAUGCUCAAUGGCCAACUUAGCAUCAUUGUAGGACGUAAAUGAAGAAGUUCCUUUCUUAGAAGGCUCAGCAAUAGAUAAGGCUUGGAACGGCGUCCCAACCUCAUCCUCAGCAUCUAUAUAAGAAAAGGAAGACAGGUGGCUAACCAAGAGAGCCUUCUCUCCCCCUACCACCACCAGCUUUUUGUUCUUGACAAAUUUCAAUUUCUGGUGUAGGGUGGAUGUCACGGCGCUUGCCUCGUGAAUCCAUGGUCUUCCUAACAGAUAGCUAAAUGAUGGGUGGAUAUCCAUGACCUGAAAAGUGAUCUGGAAAUCACUUGGUCCAAUCUUGACUAGGAGUUCAACCUCUCCAAUCACGGUCUUGCGGGAUCUAUCAAAAGCUUUUACAACCACUUCACUCUACCUCAUGGGAGGCCCCUGGUAUGACAGUCUAGCAAGAGUGGAUUUUGGCAACACAUUCAGUGAUGAUCCAGUGUCUACCAGCACAUUAGACAUGGCAUCAUCCUUAUAACUCAUAGAUAUGUGAAGUGCCAAAUUGUGGUCUCUUCCCUCCUCGGGGAGAUCAGCAUCAUAAAAACUCAAAUUGUUACAAGCAGUAAUGUUUGCAACAAUACUAUCGAAUUAUUCUAUUGUGACAUCGUGAUCUACAUACGCCACAUCCAACAUCUUCUGCAGAGCUUCUCGGUGUGGUUCUGAGUUUAUUAACAAAGAUAGCGCAGAGAUCUUUGAUGGCAUUUGUAGAAGCUGAUCUACAACGUUGUAUUCACUCCUCUUGAUGAGCCUCAGCAUCUCAUCACAAUCCUCUUUUAUCAUGCCAUUCUGGCCAGUAGGGAAAUGAGUUUUUACGGCGGUGGCAGGUUUAUUAGCAUUAAGUGCCAGAUUCAGAGCAACAAGAGAAUUUCAAACCGAACGAACAACACAAUCAGCAACAUCAUCCCUUCUGGUUUCAGCCUGGGGUUUCGGUGGAGCCGAGAAAACGAGACCACUACGGUCAGGCCGCUGACAUCAACAAUAUUAACCACAGAGGUAGAGGGCAAGGGCACCUCCAUCCCAUCUUCCAAUGCCACAACAUUGUAACGAUAGGGGACAGCCUUAUUAGAAGAAUAUGGCACAUGGCCAGCUUGUUUGAUUAUGAGAGAGGGGGAAGCCUUCUGCUUGCUGCCAUUAUAUCGGAUGACAACAGGCUCUAGGAUCCUGAAUACUGGUAAUAUCACAUUAACUUCAUCAUCCCCGUCGCGAUUCUGAAGUAUUUCUAUUACACCUUCAUCCAUCAUUUCUUGGAUGUCUUUUCGGACUUGACGAUACCCCAUCUGAUUGACAGUGCAAACACGGAAUCUGUCAUGGUGAUGCUCAUAAUGACUGUAUUCACACAACAUUCUGUGCAUCUCGACCAAAGAUUGUCGCAUAUGGCUGACAUAUCGGACCUUAUAUUUACCAGGGCAGCCCUGGACCAUGUUGAUAGCAGAUUUCCCAUGCUCGGGCAAUGGGUUCUUCUUGACGUUAGGACCUACGUCCUCGAAACACAAUAUACCGCUCAUAACAAGGUCUUGAACCUUGGUCUUCAGCGGGUAGCAGUUCUCCACAUCAUGUCCGGGAGCGUCGAAAUGAUAAACACAAUGUAGCUCUGGCUUAUACCCCCACUGAGGGUUGGUAGGUAUAGCCGGUGGGUCACGUGGAGUGAUAAGUUUCCUCUCUAUCAAAGAGGGAUAAAGCUCGGCAUAGGUCAUGGGAAUAGGAUCAAAACUGACCCUCUUCCAAUCAUAGCUUGUACUGGUCUGAUUAUUGUUUCGAGGCAGGUAGGCCUACUGUUGAGGACGGUGCUGUUGUUGUUGAUAUUGUUGGUGUUAUUGUUGUUGGUUCUGAUUAUUAUGCUAAUAGUGUUGGUUUUCUCUGAAAAUAGGUGCUAUGUGAGCCACCUGAUGCUGAUUACCGGCGGGACGCACGGUCUUCCUCUUCACAGAGGGUCUUAUGGGUUUAACAUGGGAGGUCACAGCAUGUGCCUCACCAUCUUUCUUCUUUACAAAUGCCCCAUAUUGUUUGGCAGAAGAGCAUUCUUCUCUAGUCAGGAGCCCUUCCCUGACUCCUUCCUCCAAAUGCAUCCCCAUAUUCACCAUCUCGGUGAAGUCAGAAGGAGCGCUGGCAAUCAUCCGCUCAUAAUAGAAUGAGCUCAAGGUCUUCAGGAAGAUCUUGGUCAUCUCUUUCUCUUCCAGCGGAGGCACAAUCUGUGCAGCUAGUUCUCGCCACCUCUGGGCGUACUCCUUGAAAGAUUCCUUGUCAUUCUGGGACAUGGCUCUCAAUUGAUCCCUAUCGGGAGCCAUAUCCACGUUAUAUUUGUACUGCUUGAUGAAAGCUUCACCAAGGUCAUUGAAGGAUCGGAUGUUCGCGUUGUCCAAACCCAUGUACCAUCCCAGGGCGGCACCGGACAGGCUGUCCUGGAAAUAAUGAAUGAGGAGAUGAUCAUUGUCGGUCUGAGUCGACAUCUUCCUCGCAUACAUAACCAAGUGGCUGAGAGGGCAAGUAUUUCCCUUGUACUUUUCAAAGUCAGGUACUUUGAACUUUACAGGGAUCUUGACAUUAGGAACCAGGUAGAGUUCAGCAGCAGACUUGCGAAAGAGGUCCUUCCCUCUGAGAGUUUUGAGUUCCUUACGGAGCUCAAGGAACUGAUCAUUCAUAGCAACCAUCUUUUCAUACACAUCUGGGCCCUCAGACGGCUUAGAGUGGUAAAUGGUGUCGUCUACCCUUGGCAUAAUAUGCACGACCGGAGGUGGAACGGCGAGGACCGGGCAAGAUGCCGGCAGAGAAGCAAACAUGGGGGCAAGACCCUCAGGAACAAAAUUCGCGGGCAUCCCCCAGGGAAACCCGGCUGGCAUAGCAGUUGGCACGAAAUGGGCACUAGCAGCAGACACUAUCGAGGAGGCAAUCUCAGAGAUGACUGUCCUCUAGGGAGGAGUUGAUGGCGUUGGAGACGACUGGCCUUGGGCGGCCAUGAAAGACUCCAUCAGGGCAAUCAAUCUCGCCACUUCCUCCUUGAGUUCUCUGUUCUCUUACUCUAAGUGAUCCAUCAGUCUUGAAGAGUUGGCUUUGGUGUAGCACCGGUGAGUCAGCUUGUCUUCAAAAUAAAUGAAGAACACAGAGUUAGACCAUUGAACAAGAAGCCUGGAGUAAAACCUGCUUAAGCACAUGAUGCAUGCGAUGCUUGUGCAUAUGAUUUAUUUUAUUUAUCAGAGGAACUUUAGAGUCCUAUUUGCAAAUAUUGAAAAUAUUAAUCAUUUAGACAUAUAUGGAAAUAUCAUAUCAAUAAUAUCUGGAAAAAAACUUUACACCAAAGAAGUACAGUCUUGGUAACCAAUAUACAAUACAAGAGAGAAGGAAAAUGAACAUCCUAUGGAACCCUAGAAACAAUCGUCUAAAGCUCUCGAGACUGGAAGAUAAGCUGCACGAAGCCUCUUCACCUUUCUCUCGUAGGCUGCCUCCAUAUCUGCCUUCUCUUUGGCGAGUCGAUCGUACUUCCUCUUCCAGAACUUGGAAGACUGAGGAAGAAGAAAAGUCACCACAUCAUCAGGCUCAUCGAUAACCUGAUGCUCAAGGAACUCUAUCAACGCAUCCUUAUCUUUAAGCUGCUGAAGUAGCUCCUCUCGCUCAUGGAUCCAAGCAUGCGAGCCGUCUUCGUUUCUCAACUCUUCUACUCAUUGGUCAGGGAGGGUUGAAGGCCCAACCACAACCAAAGGUGUAGGUCUCGGAUACUCGUAAGGCAUAAGGUACUCGGAAGCUCUCCUCCUCACCCACGAGGUAUAGGGUUCCAAAGCAAUACAGUUCUUCGGACCAAGCUCUUUCCUUCCCUGCCUACGGAUCUUGCGCCAAGCGCGGACCAUCCUGUCCUUCAAGCCUUGGGGAUCUUUACUCUCUUGAAAGAAUACACCUUCUAGUAGAAUGUUAUUGGGUUUAUCCUUUAAGGGGAACCCAAGCUGACGACGUGCUAAAAUAGAGUUGUAGUUAAUCCCGCCACAUGUACCAAGAAGAGGUGUGAGCAAAUUCUUUACUUUGAAUAAGUUUUGAAUGAUAGCAAAUUGUGUGAUCAUUGUCUAAUUAUUGGUUGUGCAUUAUUUUACAUGUUUCAUUUGUGUUUUUAGCCUAUACUAUUGUUUCGUAAUUAUUCUAUGUAUCGAUACAUACGAGCUUUGUAUCGAUACAUGCUUAGUUAAAAUGUUCUAUGUAUCGAUACAUACGAGCUUUGUAUCGAUACAUGCUUAGUUAAAAUGUUCUAUGUAUCGGAUACAUCGAGCUUGAUCGAUAAUGCUUGUAUAAUUAUAUAAAAUUAAUCAAAGCUACAGUAUGUAUCGAUGCAUAUUCUUUUGUAUCAAUACAUAAUUCUGUUUUGUCUACUAACAGCUUCUGUCUUUCACAUAUAAGAAGUAUUUUGACAGCUCAGUUAAAAACACACGAAUUCAGAAGUGAAAAACAGUUGUAGCACAAAUCAAAGGAGUGUGUAGCAACAAUUGUUUUUGAGCAGUUAGAAACUUGAAAGAGACUUCAUCUUCUUCAUCUUCUUCAUCUUCUCAAUCUCUUUUCUUCAAGAACAUCAACAUAUAAUCAUUCUUGUUCUUUGGAUUAAAGGAUCAACGAGAUAACGUUCAGUGGAACGUUCAAGGAUCUAGCUGAGGUGUUCAGUGGAACGAUCGAGGAUCUAGCUGCGUUGAAAGUUGAAGGGGGUUUCGAGGAAAAACCAAAUGGUUUGUCCUUCAAGAAUUGGAGUGUUCUUGCGGGUUUAUUAGUCACGUUUGCUGAACAGAUUCAGCCGUAGCGUAGGGUUUGGAAAUUGGGUAAUUUCGCAAACAGGUCGUGGAACCGGUGAAUUGUUUGCAAUUUCUUGCAGGAAAUUCUUGAUCGAGCUCAGAUCAAGUGGAGGUUUUACAGAGAAGAAGAUCUUGAUAUUUAGAUUUCUUUCUUUUGUAUUGUAACCUUAUAUCACGAAUUCGGCAUAUAACAGUUCUCAAUUUCAUUUGAAAUUGAGAGGGAGACGUACCCACACGCGAGGACGACAGUGGGGAACUUCCUUACCAAAUCUCUGCGUAUCGUAUUCUUUCCUUAUCUCUCUUUACUUUUUCAACAGUUUUGUGAUUUCAGUUGGUGUAUUGUGGCUGUACAUUUCGUGAUACAAUAGUGGCAAGAAAACUUCUUUAUCUAAACUCCACCACUGUUCAUCAUUGAUCACACACACACCAAAUGUUUGACAAAACUGUCAGCUGAGUUUUAUUCAUUGGAAUUAGAAUUUAGUGAUAAGUGCAUUUGAUUUGAUAAUAUUCUGGUGUUAAUAAUCUCUAUCGUUCUAAUUCAAAUCCAGCAAUAAACUCGCGUGUCCGGUUUUCUAGUAGCGGUUCAGAAUAGACGGAAGUCGAUUCGGGACUGUAAUUUUCCGCUAAGUAUCAAUAACUCUGAUAAGGAUUUUUAAAUCCGUUUAUUUUAAAAGAGGUGAUCUAUUCACCCCCCUCUCGAUCACUAGCCACACCGUCUAACAAGCGGUAUCAGAGCGCCGGUUCGCUGGUGUUCUGUGGCUGCCUGUAACGAUAUGGAUUCUGAACCAAAGGGGGCGUAUAAUAGAGCGCCGAUUUUCAACGGUGAAAAUUACGGCUACUGGAAAGACUGCAUGCGAGUUCAUAUAAAUUCUGUUGAUAGGCUAGUAUGGGCUGCCAUUGAAAAUGGUCCUUUUCAAAUUACUAUGACAAAUGCGGCUGGCGCCAUAGUUCCUAAACCAGAAGGUGAUUAGAAAUGAGAAAGAUAGAAAAAGUGGUCGAGUGAUUGGAGAGCUCGAAAUAUGCUAUUUCAGCACUUGGUGUUGAUGAGUAUUAUCGGGUAUCCCAUUGCACGACAGCUAAAGAAAUGUGGGAUGCUUUAGAAGUUGCCCAUGAGGGUACUACUGAAGUAAAACAGUCCCGCAUUAACAAACUCAAUCAAGAGUUUGAGCUCUUUCGCAUGAAACAAGGAGAAUCUAUCUCCGACAUGCAAAAGAGAUUUAUUCAUCUCACUAAUCGUUUGAAUGCACUUGGAAAACCUGUUUCCAAUGAAAUAGCUACUAAUAAAUUUCUGAGAUGUCUUAGCAGGGAAUGGCAACCUAAAGUAACAACUAUUAAGGAAGCCAACGAUCUAACGACACUUACGAUUACAACUCUGUUUGGAAAGUUGGAAGAACAUCAACAAGCAUUAGAAAGUCUUGAAAAGUUUGAGAACAAAAGUAAGAAGGAAAAGGAGAAGAAGAGAGACAAAAAGGGAGAGAAGAAGCCAAUAGUUCUUGUGGCCUCUAGCUCUAAGUCCUCACGAAAAGAGCAAAGUGACAAUGAUUCUAGUAGUGACAAAGAUUCCGAUGAUGAGGAAAUGGGACUUUUUGUAAGGAGAUAUAAUAGAUUCAUUCGAAAGAAUGGAGUCAAGCAUUCCGACAAAAACCUCAUGAAGUUUCAAAGACAAUCUACAGAUUCAAAACAGGAAGAGAAUAAGAAGAGUAGAGGAAAAGGAUCUUGUUUUAAUUGUGGUAAAUCUGGACAUUAUAAAAUAGAUUGUCCUAUGAAGUAUAAGGAUCAAGGAAAAGCUCCACCAAAAGGGUACAACAAACAAAGAAGAGCUUACAUUGCAUGGGAAAGUGAUAGUGAUUCAUCAAGCACACAAAGUUCAAGUGAUAGUGAUGAAACCGCAAAUCUGUGCCUUAUGGCUCACACCAAAAAUCUGUCCUACCACAAGAAGAAAAUCAAUGAUAAAAAGGUAAAACAAGCCUAUUAUAAUAAUUUCUCUUCUAUGUCUUUUUCUGAACUGAAAAUAGCUUUUGAAAAACUGCAUAACGAAGCUGUAGAUGCUUUUAAAAGAUUAUCUUCCGAUAAACAAAUUUUUUCAUUUCUGGAAGGUAAAGUAUACAAAGCUGAAAAAGAUUUAGAAUGGUUAAAAGCUAGUAUUGCAGAAAAUUCAAAAAAUAUUGACAUUGAUGGAUGUAGUAAAGUUGGGUAUUGUGAAGCUUGUCAUAUUUGGCAACAAGAGGUAAACACUCUCAAGGUCAAAUUGGAAAAAGCUUUACAACCUAAGGUUACUUAUGCCGUUGACUCUAGGUUGUUUAAGAAGUCAUUAAAUCCACCAUAUGCAAAAUACUCUUUUAUUCCAAAGGAUUUAAUGAACAAGAAUAAACAAACACAUCAUCAUGGUUUAUGUCAUUAUUGUUGUCGUGCUGGCCAUACCAUUGAGAAAUGCAAGUUUAGGAGAUUUCUUGUUCCUAAAGGUAUUUAUCAAUGGAAGCCAAAAGGCAACCAUGUUAGCACUUACCCACUUGGACCCAAUGAAAAUUGGGUACCAACUUCUCUCUUUUGAUAUUGUAGGAUGAGUGCCUUGCUUCCGUAGAUAGGAGAUGGUUUCUUGACAGCGGUUGCUCAAGGCACAUGACCGGUGACAUAUCGCUUUUUAUAGACUUCAAAGCAAAGAAGAAGGGAUAUGUUACUUAUGGAGACAAUAACAAAGGAGCUAUACUUGGCAAAGGUAGUGUAGGUAAUCCCUCUACCACUACUAUUUCUGAUGUCCAUUUAGUAGAGGGGCUUAAACACAAUUUGUUAAGCAUAAGUCAAUUGUGUGACAAGGGUUAUAAAGUUUCUUUCACAAAAACUUGCUGCAUAAUUGAACAUGCUGAACAGAACGUUGUGUUUAAGGGUGUAAGAGUAAACAAUAUCUAUAUGCUUGACCUUUUUGAUGUAUCUUUAACAAGUACUAAAUGUCUAGUUACCUUGAAUGAUGAUUCUUGGCUUUGGCAUAGACGUUUAGCGCAUGUUAGUUUUGAUUUGCUUAAUAAGGUUGUAUCUAAGGAUCUAGUAGUCGAUCUUCCAAAAAUAAAAUUUUCAAAAGACCACCUAUGUGACGCGUGCCAAAUGGGAAAACAAACGAGGGUCUCUUUUAAAUCUAAAAAUGUAAUUUCAACUUCACGAUCCCUUGAGCUUCUCCAUAUGGAUCUCUUUGGACCUUCUAGGACAAAGAGCAUAGGUGGAAAUUAUUAUGGUUUUGUAAUCGUUGAUGACUAUUCUAGAUUUACUUGGACUAUAUUCCUUCAUAGGAAAGAUGAAACUUUUUCUGCUUUUAACAAUUUUGCAAAUCUGUCCCAAAACAAAAUGAAUUCCAAAAUAGUUACAAUUCGUAGCGAUCAUGGUGGUGAAUUUCAAAACUAUCACUUUGAUAAGUACUGUGACAAGUAUGGUAUUAAGCAUAACUUUUCAGCUCCUCGAACUCCACAACAAAAUGGCGUUGUGGAGCGUAAAAAUCGUGUUUUAGAGGAGUUGGCAAGAACAAUGCUAAAUGAGGGUGGAUUACCAAAAUACUUUUGGGCUGAUGCAGUUAGCACAGCUUGUUAUGUUUUAAACAGGAUCUUAAUUCGUCCUAUUUUAAAUAAAACUCCUUAUGAGCUUUUAAAAGGAAGAAAGCCAAACUUGUCACAUCUUCACGUAUUCGGUUGUAAGUGUUUUGUUUUGAAUAAUGGUAAGGAAAAUAUUGGGAAGUUUGAUGCAAAAGCGGAUGAAGGUAUCUUUCUUGGAUACUCACAAUCAAGUAAAGCAUAUAGAGUAUAUAAUAAGCGUUUACUUACUGUUGAAGAAUCUGUCCAUGUUUCUUUUGAUGAGUCUUAUCCGAAAAGUGUCGGAAAAGGUAUUUCUUUUGAUGACGCAGGUGUAUCUACAGAAGACAUACUCAAGGAAGCUGUUACGGAAACUGAUCAGUCCAGAACAGUUGCCCAUGAGAAGGAGGAAGAUACUAGUCAUGAAGAAGAUGAGGAAGAAAGGACAGCUGAAGUGAAUGACCUUCCACCAGCUUGGAAAUCUUCAAAAGACCAUCCUAUUGACAACAUCUUGGGAGAUAUUUCAAAGGGAGUAAUGACUCGUUCUAAGAUAAGUAAUUUUUGUUCUCACUUCGCUUUUGUUUCACAAGUAGAACCUAAAAAUGCCAAAGAGGCCUUGAUUGAUGAAUUUUGGCUAAUGGCCAUGCAAGAAGAGCUUAAUCAAUUUAAAAGAAAUGACAUUUGGGAACUUGUCCCUCGUCCGCGAGAUCAUCAUAUCAUAGGUACUAAAUGGGUUUUUAGAAAUAAGCUUGAUGAAAACGGAGUGAUAACUAGGAACAAGGCACGUUUAGUAGCACAAGGGUAUAACCAAGAGGAGGGCAUAGACUAUGAGGAAACUUAUGCUCCAGUUGCUCGCCUUGAAGCUAUACGUCUCUUGCUUGCCUAUGCGUGUUCUAAUAAUUUUAAGCUUUACCAAAUGGACGUAAAGAGUGCGUUUCUAAAUGGUGUCAUAAAUGAAGAGGUAUAUGUCUCACAACCUCCUGGUUUUGAGAAUGCUGAAAAUCCAGAUUAUGUUUACAAAUUAAAACGAGCUUUGUAUGGUCUUAAACAAGCCCCUCGGGUUUGGUAUGAAAGGCUUAGCAAAUUUCUAAUUGAUCAUGGAUAUUCAAGAGGUAAAGUGGAUAAUACUCUCUUUAUUAAACACAAGGGAAAGCACAUUCUUUUAGUUCAAGUUUAUGUAGACGAUAUAAUUUUUGGUUCAACUAACACACACUUGGUCGAAGAAUUUUCUAAGGUUAUGCAGGGUGAAUUUGAGAUGAGUCUUAUGGGGGAGCUGAAUUACUUCCUAGGUCUUCAGAUAAAGCAACUUGAUGAGGGUACAGCAGUAUGUCAAACAAAGUACUGCAGAGAACUACUCAAGCGCUUUGGAAUGAACGACUCAAAAUCAAUUGACACCCCUAUGCCUACCAACGGAAAUCUAGAUAAAGAUGAGCAUGGUAAGAGUGUAGAUGUCAAAAAGUUUAGAGGUAUGAUUGGGUCUCUUCUGUAUCUUUCUGCUUCUAGACCUGACAUCAUGUUUAGUGUUUGUAUGUGUGCACGAUAUCAAUCAAAUCCUAAGGAAUCACACCUGAAAGUUGUUAAGCGUAUAUUUAGAUAUCUUCAUGGAACAUCUAAAUAUGGGCUUUGGUAUUCCAAAGGAAGUGAUUGUAGCUUAGUAGGUUACUCCGAUUCUGAUUUUGCUGGCUGCAAGUCAGAUAGGAAAAGCACGAGUGGUACAUGUCACUUGUUUCCAAACUCCUUGGUAAGUUGGCAUAGCAAAAAGCAGGUAUCUGUGGCUUUGUCAACUACAGAGGCAUAGUACGUUAUAGCCGGUAGUUGUUGCGCUCAGAUUUUGUGGCUAAAGCAACAACUACAAGACUUUAACAUUCAACUCAAACGUAUUCCAAUAAAAUGUGACAACACUAGUGCCAUAAACCUUACUAAAAAUCCUGCUUUACACUCACGCACUAAACACAUAGAGAUUAGACAUCACUUUCUUCACGAUCAUGUUGAAAAAGAAGACGUUGUAUUUGAGCAUGUUGAUACUAAAAACCAGCUUGCUGACAUUUUCUCUAAACCUUUGGCAACGGAACCGUUCUUCAACAUUCGUCGUGAAUUAGGGAUCUUAGAUCUCUCUCCAUUGUUGUCUUAAGCAUGUUUGUUCUUAUUUAUAUUAUGCCUCACCUUGGUUGAUGAGAUUUGUUUUAGAUUUCAUUUAUACCUCACAAGGUUACAUCAACAGAGGUAAUAUCACUCCUUUCUAUAUCUCUUUUAGAACUAUGUGAUUGUGUAUGUUAGAACAAAAUUCCUUAUUUUCGUUUAUGUGAAUUUCUUUGCAUAUAUUGUUUGAACAUUAAUAUCUGAUUUGUGAAUUAUACUUGGGCAUCAUUAUCAUGACAUACUUCAUAAUGCAUAACCAUACUGCAUAAAAAUUAAUUAAAAUUUGGUUUGGCAUCAGUAUGUAUCGAUUCAAAGAUGUAUGUAUCGAUUCAUGUCUUCUUCAUUUCACAUCUGUCAAAAUUGGUUCAGUAUGUAUCGAUUCAUUCGUCGUUUGUAUCGAUACAUAGACCCUUUAAAAACAAAAAUGCGUGACAUGGAUCGAUCCAUUCCCAUAUGCAUCGACACAUACUGAUUGUUAUUUGGAUUAAAUGCAUUUUAUUUCACUCAUGGAUCGACACAUCAGCAAUUCUUAUCACAUCUUUUCACAAACUUGGUAUCAGCAGUUCCCCUACCUCUCAAAACCUGCGGCUAACCCUAAUCUCCUUCAUCAUCAUUCUCUCCAAAACCCUAAAUUCAUCUCACUUUUCUUCAAUUUUUCAUCACCAUGCCUCCAAGAAUCAUUCCGGCUAGAGCAAGGGGAAAAGGAAAAGGAAAGGAACCGGUUGGCACUUCUCAGCAGUUACCAGAAAUUCCUCCUAAUGCCUUAGAUUUGCUUCAUCCUGCAAUUGCUACUGAGUUUGAGGAUUCUUUCAAGACAAGGUUAGUUAUGAAACCCCAUGUCUUCGAUAAACAUGAUGUUAUUCAUCUGCAUCUCAAUGAUGUGGUUGAACUCCUUAAUGCACAAAAACUUGGUUCAUUUUUUACUACAAAGGAUGAUUACCAUGAGGAUUUUAUCCGUGCAUUUUAUGCUGGCUUACAAUCUGGUAAAGGAUAUAUGUUUAAGUGUUCUAUUGGUGUCAGAACCUAUACUUUUGAGGCUGCUGAUUGGGAAACAGUGUUUCAAAUUCCGCUUCCGUCGCAUAAUUUCAAGACUUGGCAUGACUUGAAGUUUGAUACUGACUUUAACCUGAAGGAGUUUACUCUAUCUAUCUUGAAAUUGGACAGACCGCUGGGUGAGGAUGAACAGGUUACGUCUGGUAUGAUUAAGAAAAUUCCUCGUAUACUUCAGUGGAUUAUCUCGCACAUUCUGCGUCCAGCAAACAGUGGACAUUCUAGGUUAGACAGGGCAGGCAUUCAUCUCUUGUAUACUCUUCAAAAUAAGGUUCCCUUGAAUUGGGCAAAUUACUUUGUGAAGCGUCUCUUUUUCGUGCGUAACAGUGCCAAGAAUGUUGCUCUUGGUUAUGCGUCUCAAAUCAUGAAAAUUCUUACGUUCUGGAAUGUUGCAAUCCCUUUAGUUCCUCUCAUAUCACCAUCUGCUGCUCAAGAGUUUGACUCUUCCACUUUAUCUCAUAUGGGAUAUCGGUGGGACAAGGAACGUCAAUGUUUCUAUUUCUUUGAAAGGAAAUCCAAAACAAGGAUCUAUAAUUUUGAUGUGCCUUCUGAACGAAUUCAUGUAGUUGAAGACCAACCUGAUGAAGAAAUGCAUGAUGUGAACGAAGCAGAUGUGCCUGCAGCUGAUGACAAUGCUGGUUGGGGUGAUUGGGUGCCACAAAGGUGGUCUCCAACCAACUAUGUACCUGAACCAACGGUUCCUCCGUUCUCCGGCGGUGCUUCAUCUUCAACACCUACUGCGCACCUAACUCAAAUGCUUCAACAAAUGGAGCUUGCCAACCAAGAACGUCAUGAAGAGGCACGGUCUUGGCAUGUACAACAAAGUGAGUGGUAUAAGGAGCACCGUGAGUGGCAUGACGAUCAUACACGGAUGUACCAUAACCAAUACUCUUGGCACACAGACUUGGUUAAGUGGCACCAAGUCUUCUACAAUGAUGUCUGGUUUUAUGGACGACUGCCGUGCCAAUCCUGGUAUUAUGGACAUAUUCAGAAGUGUUGAAGUUCAGGACUGGUUCAGGCACUACACCUUCGUGGGCCACAAUCCAGAUGCAAUGCCUCCUCCUCCGCCUCCGCCAAGCUUCAGAGAUCCUGAUAGAGAUGACGAGGAGUCAUGUGGUGGCUAUAAUCCACAUUAAACCAUCAUCAUUUCAUUUCACUGCAUUUUAUUGCAUGUUGCUUGAGUUUUUUUCUUUUCAGAUUAGUUGCACCUUAUAUGUAUUGGCUUAUGUAAUUUUUAAAUACUUUCUACUAGUUAAAUGCUUAUUUCCUUCUGCUUACUUCUGGUGUUAUUGCCCUUAUUUGUCAUUCUUUGUGAGUGAUUCUUUAAUUUUUAAGCUUCCUUCUUUGUGAUUGUUAGCUUCUUUAUCAUUUUUGCUAUGUCCUGCUACAACAUGUUGCCUUGAUAAAACUGUUUUUUUCUUCUUUUUGAUGUUGACAAAGGGGGAGAAAUGCAGAUGUUGACAGAUAUGCACAAACUCAGGGGGAGUAUCACACAUCUUGCUAAAAAUUUGCCAUCAUCAAAAAGGGGGAGUUUGUGAGCAAAUUCUUUACUUUGAAUAAGUUUUGAAUGAUAGCAAAUUGUGUGAUCAUUGUCUAAUUGUUGGUUGUGCAUUAUUUUACAUGUUUCAUUUGUGUUUUUAGCCUAUACUAUUGUUUCGUGUCUAUACAUAAAGAUCCACAUUGAUACAUUUCUUAAAAGAACUCAUAAAAACUGUUUUGUGUCAGUAUGUAUCGAUACAUGUUCAUCUGCAUCGAUACAUAAAUUUGUUUUAAAUCACAAAACGUUUUUGCUUCAGUAUGUAUCGAUACAUACGAGCUUUGUAUCGAUACAUGCUUAGUUAAAAUGUUCUAUGUAUCGAUACAUACGAGCUUUGUAUCGAUACAUGCUUAGUUAAAAUGUUCUAUGUAUCGAUACAUACGAGCUUUGUAUCGAUACAUGCUUAGUUAAAAUGUUCUAUGUAUCGAUACGUACGAGCUUUGUAUCGAUACAUGCUUGUAUUAAUUCUCUAAACUUAAUCAAAGCUACAGUAUGUAUCGAUGCAUAUUCUUUUGUAUCAAUACAUAAUUCUGUUUUGUCUACUAACAGCUUCUGUCUUUCACAUAUAAGAAGUAUUUUGACAGCUCAGUUAAAAACACACAAAUUCAGAAGUGAAAAACAGUUGUAACACAAAUCAAAGGAGUGUGUAGCAGCAAUUGUUUUUGAGCAGUUAGAAACCUGAAAGAGACUUCAUCUUCUUCAUCUUCUUAAUCUCUUUUCUUCAAGAACAUCAACACAUAAUCAUUCUUGUUCUUUGGAUUAAAGGAUCAACGAGAUAACGUUCAGUGGAACGAUCAAGGAUCUAGCUGAGGUGUUCAAUGGAACGAUCGAGGAUCUAGCUGAGUUGAAGGUUGAAGGGGGUUUCGAGGAAAAACCAAAUGGUUUGUCCUUCAAGAACUGGAGUGUUCUUGCGGGUUUGUUAGUCACGUUUGCAGAACAGAUUCAGCCGUAGCGUAGGGUUUGGAAAUUGGGUAAUUUCGCAAACAGGUCGUGGAACCGGUGAAUUGUUUGCAAUUUCUUGCAGGAAAUUCUUGAUCGAGCUCAGAUCAAGUGGAGGUUUUAUACAAGAAGAAGAUAUUAGGAUUUAGAUUUCUGUCUUUGUAUUGUAACCUUGUAUCAACGAAUUCGGCAUUAUUGAUAACAACAGUUCUCCAUUUCAUUUGAAAUUGAGAGGGAGACGUACCCACACGCGAGGACGACAGUGGGGAACUUCCUUACCAAAUCUCUGCGUAUCGUAUUCUUUCCUUAUCUAUCUUUACAUUUUCAACAGUUUUGUGAUUUCAGUUGGUGUAUUGUGGUUGUACAUUUUGUGAUACAAUAGUGGCAAGAAAACUUCUUUAUCUAAACUCCGCCAUUGUUCAUCAUUGAUCAUAUACACACCAAAUGUUUGACAAAACUGUCAGCUGAGUUUUAUUCAUUGGAAUUAGAAUUUAGUGAUAAGUGCAUUUGAUUUGAUAAUAUUCUGGUGUUAAUAAUCUCUAUUUCGUUCUCGAUCAAAUCCAACAAUAAAUUCGCGCGUGUCCGGGUUUCUAGUAGGCGUUCAGAAAACAUUUAGAUAAAGCAAUACGGCGAAGUCGAUUCGGGACUGUAUAUUUCCGCCUAAGUAUCAUAACUCGAUAAGAUUUUUUAAAAUCCUGUUUAAUUUAAACAGAGGGUGACUACUUCACGAUCCCCACCCCCCUCUCGAUCACAAGAGGCACAUUGAAGAAUUCAGCACAAGAGUCGAUAAUCUACACACCAUCGUAUACACGGUUGUACCAAAAGAUAUCAUCAUUAGUGAGAGACAUAAGCCUCAUGGACCACCGUAGACAUCCUUUGUUCUCCUUGAAGGCGACCGUCUAUGGCAAGUGCGAAAUAAACCACUUGUACAACAGAGCAAACAGCACACAAUGGUACCACCACCCUUUGCGUUCCUCAUAUGCAAAGAGAAAUAAGUGUCACCCAACAGAGUCCGAACAGGAUUAAGAGUGGAGAAAAUCCUAAUAGCGUUCAUAUCCACAAAUUUGUCGAUGUUGGGAAAUAACACUAGCCCAUAGAUGAGAAGUACAAAUAUAGACUCAAAGGCGUCCUCGCUCAUGGCCUUCCCAUACAAAGUAGCUUGAGCAAUGAGGAAAUCAGAAGGGAGACCUUGAAUUCCACCUUUGCUAGUCAUAUGAGCACCAACCAGAGAUUCAUCUAUAUGCAACAAAUCAACAAUCUCUUGAGAAGUAGGAACCCUCUCUAAGCCACUGAACGGCAACUGAUCUAGGAUAGGUAUACCCACAAGAUAGACAUACUCCUCAAGCGUGGGCAAAAGCUGAAAAUCCAGAAAUGUGAAGCAACGGUACAAGGGAUCAUAGAACUGCACCAAUACACUCAUCAGACCUUCAUCCACUUGAGUGGCAAGAAUAGACAGAAGCUUCCCAUGACGAGCCUUGAACUCCAAGGGAUCUAAUACAUAGGAUGUCAAACUCCUUAGCUCUUUCAAGUCGGGUUGUCUGAAGUUGUACUUCUUUGUAUUCCUUCUUUGUCUAUCCAUGUCUGAAAAUUUGCAAAUAGACCUCUUAAGUUCCUUGAAAAUUUUCUCAUUAUUGAUGAUAUGGAUGUAAAUGGAUGCAUGAAUGCAUCGAUGCAACAAUCACACUCAAGGAUCAAGCAAAGCACACCACACAAAGGUCAUGGGAUGGAUCAAGUCAUCCUUAAUAUCAAUCAUCCAUUUUGGUGGAUUAUGGUUUACACCCUUCUCACACCCAAGUCCAUUGAGAGAGAAGGAUAUAAACACAGAACCUGAUAAACCAUGAACUCAACCGGUUUGUAUACAAGUCACCGAAGCGUGGAAGUCUCGUCUAAGAACCACCCAAAGGGCAUCUGUACCUAGGGUUAAACCUGAAACCACUCAUGUCUAAACAAGAGGUUCCCAUAGUCAUCAUCCCAUCUUUCGGAUAUUAUCGGAUAAACGACUACUCGUAUUCCAAAAAUAUUCUCAAGAGAGACUCUUAUGAGUGUAGUAUCGCGUAACGAUCGUAUCAAAUCUUACACUUGAACGACCUUCGCACUACGUCCUAAAAAUAGGCCAAGAUGGGCUUGGUAAACUAAGGUCCUUGGCUUCUAAGGUCUAUAUUGUAAAGAGUAAUGCCUAACCACGACGACUCGUGUGACAUUAUUGAUCCCAACAUGACCUCCACCAAGUGAAUGGGUUUGCAAGUCAACUUGCUAAGGAAUAACUCCACACAAGUCAAUAAGACUAUGCCAUUCUCUUAUUCUAAGUGCACUCAAGUUCGGGUAUAGAACUCAUCUCACAAAGAUCACCAAGCAUACAAGGAAUUAAUAUAUCAAGCAAUUCAAUCAUUACAUACAAUACAGUAAUCCCAAAUUGCACAUAAAUAUGUCACAAAAUAAUAUACACAAUACAAUACAACAAAUGUGAAAAGUAGGCAAAACCCACUAGGCAAAUGUCCCCAGCGGAGUCGCCACUUUUCUGUAAAUCAUACAAUUUGAGUCGCCACCACACUUCUAUUUAUCCAAAGGGAAGGUUAGAAAGCGAACAAAAAUCGAGAAGUUUUAUCGAAUCAAAAACUAAUAAAAAUGUCAGAGAUCAGGGUAAGGGGGUUGGUUAUGCAAUGGGAAGGUUUUAAGCACCCAAAACAUCCUAGGUACUCCUAGGGAGCCCUUUUCAUAAUUUGUUGUAAGGUAGGUUGGUAUUUGGAAAAAAAUAUUUGUGCAAACAUGAUUGGGGAGAUGAGAGAAGAAUGUACAAAUUAUUUAUAAUUUUGUGUUUGAAUGGAUAAACCCAUUGCCUACGUACCAUCUUAAAAAAGGAUUAGGAUCAAAACCUCGUAGUUCGGGAUAAAAAUCUCAAAACAAGUUGGUGAAUUGAUUGGUCCAAAAGCCUCAAGGUCUUUUGUUAUCCAAGGGAGAAAACUCGACCUAAAACCACAAAUCCACCAUGUGAGGAUAGCUUCAACAUGCUAGUGAGGGGUUAACCCUAUAAUAAGCAUGGAAGACUCAUUGUCCAUCACUAAGGAUAUAGGUGAGUAUUAUAUCAACCUCAAGGAUAACUCAAACCUAAUAGCUAAUGGUUAUGAAAAGUUUUGAUAAGAAGUGGCCAUUGAAACCAUAAAACAUUUGAAUGAGUUGUAUUUACCAAUGAAAAGUAUUUACAAAAUAUGGUCAAAGUUGACUUAAGGGUUCAAUUCAAAAUAAGUGUUAUGAAAGGAAAGUUUGAAAAUCAAAAGCAUAAUGCUUAGGUUUCUAGUUUUUGAAAACAAAUGUUAAUGUUUGCACAAAAUUUUUGGCUUGGGUUAGAGUGGAGGGAAGAAGAAGAAUGACUAAGUUCUAAACAUACAAAGAUGAAGGAAAAGAAAUAAGACCAUAAAUGGAGUUCCCUUCUUGAGAUCAUAGUGAUGAUCCAAGUCGCUCCCAUCCUUUGGAAUAAGCAAGCAAAUAAGCAAAUACUCAAGCAAUCAAUCAAUCAAGCAAGCUCUUAGGAAUCUUCCAAUGGCUCUUGUAUCUCUUACUUUAGAUGCACAUGAUAAUGGUUCUUCAAUUUGGCUCAAAUGGGAAUCCCUAGCACAAGAACACACACAUCAAAAAGUUCCACAAAACAAACAAAGAAUGGACAAAAGUGAGUUUAGAGAUUAGGUCAUUCCAAUUCAUCUUCAACAUUAAGUCCUUUUUACUCCAUUUUUGCAUAGGGAAUGUCCUAAAGUCUAAGUCCUUUUGUCCAUUUGCAUUUGGUUCACAACAAUCAAAACAAAACACAAGCACAAUAGUAUAUACACAAUUAUGUGCUCAAGUGAAUUUGCAUAGGGAAUGUCCUAAAGUCUAAGUCCUUUUGUCCAUUUGCAUUUGGUUCACAACAAUCAAAACAAAACACAAGCACAAUAGUAUAUACACAAUUAUGUGCUCAAGUGAGCAAAAGGCAAAUCGUAAGUGGACUAAUGUAGUAGUCAAACCUAUCUAAGACCGGUCAAUAAAAAUAUAGGCAACAAACACAAGUUAGAGAUCUUGAUUAGUGAAUCAAGCUCCUACAACUUGCCAUGCCAAAAGAAAAGAAGGAUGAUCUUGUAUUGAUUUAGGUUUUCAUGCUUGAUUAGGAAGUAACCUAUCCUUAAUGCAAAGCCAUUCACUUGAUCUUUGGAUCAAGAUGAAUUAGAUUUGAAUCAAGGAAGGUUAAACCUCUCAUACAUCAAGGCUAACCACUAAUCUUUUACUCAUUUAUCAAAAAGAAAAAGAUGAAGAAGAAUAUGGAUAAGAAUGUACAUUAAUGGAAUUCAAAUGAAGUAAGCAAAUUGCAUUGACCAAAGACAAAUGGAAUCAUGGUCAAACACUAGUAAACAGAAGCAAAAUGAAACUUAAAAGUCAAGAAACAAAUAAAAUAUUUUUGGUUUUUUUCAAAAUUGAAAUAAUACUUGAAUUAAAAUAAACAAUUAAAGGUCAAACUUCAAAUCCAUCUCAAAUCAACUUUGAAAAGUCCAAAUGGAUCAUCCUAAGUUCAACAAGGUCAAACAAAGUUUGACAAAAAAAAUUCAGCAUUUUUAGAAACUAGAAACUAUUUUUAAUCAAUUAAAAUGCAUAAAAAAUAACCUAAUUGAAUUAAAAUCUCAAAUAAUUCUCAAAUCAAUUAAUAAAUGGAUGAGAAUAUUUUUCAUAGAUCCAUCAUCAUUCAAAGAGGUUGAGAAAAUAUUUUUGUAUUUUUUGGAUAUUGAAAACUAACUAAAAUGAAUUAAAAAUAACCAGAAAAGAGAAAAUUCAUAAAAAAAUUCAAAUGAUAAAAUAAAAAAUAUUAAAAAUCAUUUUUAGAAACUAGAAAUUAAAAGAGAAAUAAUUUCAUCAGUCUCAUAUUUUUUGGAAUUAAAAUGAGAGAGAUAUGAUUUUUUGAAAUAAAAUAAACUAAAAGAAAUAAAAUGGAUUAAAUCAGAAAAUAGGAAAAAACACACGCGUUGGAUUUAAUUUGUUAAAUGAUCUGGAAGAUCAAACGGCUGUGGCAUGCGCGUGCAUCAUGGACCUAAGUCAACCGAGCAACAUAAACUUUUAAAUAAAGUCAUAAGAUCCAAGAGCCCUGAUUCGAUCUGAGAAUCAUCAUCAACGGCCUGGAUCAAAACUGGCAAACAAACAGUGGUGUACAACACCGUCUUCUCCAGCGAGACCAGAGAUUCCGGCCAAAGUUGCAGAGAAAAAUUCUUAACCAAAUGAAGCGAUCCACAUAUCAUUGGAAAGCUGGAGUGAUGUACAUCACCCCUGUACCAUUGGUUUCUCCUCUAGAUCCUCAUAGAGAGAGAAAUCAGAGAGAGAAAAUCAUGGUGUUCAAUCUGAACUUCACGGAUUUGAAAAAUUAAAAGCACAGUUUGAAUGCCUCUGAUGAAAGGACUUCAGCCAAGGAAAGAAACACAAGAAACAAGCAAUAAUUAGGGAGUUUCGAAGAAGAAAAGUUUGAACAUCCACCUCUGAAAUGUGGAUAUGGAAAGCACAAUUCCUCUUAGCUACUGAUUGCAGUGUGAUCUAGAGAUGAAGAUGAAGCAAGGCCAAGGAAUUUUGAGUCUGAUAAUCAACAAAUGAAGUUGAAAAUCAGAUCUGAAAUUUUGAAAUGAAAGAGUGAAUUCCUUUAGGUAUGGCUAUGGAGGGAGUUUUGCAGCAUAACAGGCGCCUUCAGGUUAUUGAAUUAUGAAGCCUAACACUCUUAUUUAUAGCAAUUGGCAAAGGCAAGCAUGAAAGUUUCAUGUGCAUGAAUGAAGAGGGCCUCCAUGCAUGGGCCUGUACAGGCGCAUGGAGGGCCCAAAUCCUAUUGGUUUGGCAAGCUUAACAUCAGCAAAUGAGUUUUGGAUAUGCAGAUGAAGUGUAAUUGGCUUAUGCAAUGAGUUUUCAAUUAGUUUCCAAAAAUGCACCAAAAUGUUCUCUUCUUCGAAAAUGCCUUUUUCCAAAAAUAAAACAUGGCCUUAUGGGUAAUGGUUGGAAAGCUCUUGACAUGAGCAUCAAUUGUUAUGUUGAGAAAAACUUCAUUUGGAAUUUGGAAAUUAGUGAAAAUUGGUCAUAAAGUGCAAGGUGCAAAACAUGUGUAUGUGAAAAUUUCCAAAAUGGGCCAACUUCAAGCCCUUCUAUUUCAAUGAUGCAAGCUCCAAAUGACAAAACCUUCAACAUAAACGUUGUAGAGAUUUUCAAGAAAAUCAAUUUGGACUCAAAUUUUACAUCAUUUGGAUUUUUGAUGAGGACUUUAAGGGCACUUGAAGUUAGACUUUUUCACAUUUCAAUGCCUUUGGUCCAAAGUGACCUAUAAUGUUUUGCAUUAUCACAUGUAUUUAUUUUAGGAUUAUGAAAAUUUGUUCAACAUAAAAAAUUAAUUAGACAUCUUUAACUUUCCAAUUCAUUGAUCCCACCUCAAAAUAAUGAAAAAUGAAUGAGUUAUGUUAUUGGGAAGUUGACCCAAAAUUAGGGUUUCAGUCAAAAUGACCUAUAAUGUUUUGAAAUGGAUGAUGACCUUCCAAGCUUAAUAACAUUUUUUCUCUUGUAGUCAUCUCCAUAUGACAAACACAUUAAAAUUUAGGUCUCAGUGUACUUCAAAAUAGUCAGAUGAAUUGACUGAUCAACUUCUCAAGUCCAAACCUCAUAUCUUGAUGAAUUGAUGAUUAAAGACACUCAAAUAAGCUCAAAUAUGCAUUAAAUGAUGAAUUAAAGUACUUCCCUUGAUUGUAUUUGAUCAUGGGUUAAGGUUGCUUCAUGGGCAAGGCACAGUUGAUGCACAUAUGAAUUAGGGUUUCCUUGGGAAACAAUCCUCAAACCCCUUGGUUUGCUUUGAUCAAAUUGAUAAAUUGAGAUACUUGUGAGGCAUAUAUAAUGGAUGAGAACCUUGUGAACCAUUGUCAUCCUUGCUUUCACCUUCACCUGGCCAUAUCAAUGAGCAUAGGGUCUCUUAGGAGCCUUGGAUCUUAUGAUUGCUCAAGCUACAAAACAAACAAAGUUAGUGACAUAUUUUUGUGCUUUUGGUUAGUAAACAAAAUAAGAAAAGCAAUAAUAUACAAUUCAAGCAUGCUUGGUGGUAUGACAUAUUUUUGUGCUUUUGGUUAGUAAACAAAAUAAGAAAAGCAAUAAUAUACAAUUCAAGCAUGCUUGGUGGUCUCAAACCAACUCACACAAGUUCCCACCCUAGGGUUAGGAACCAAGAUGCUGUGAUCCUUGAGGCAAAUGCAAAUGCAAUGAUAUGAUGCCAUGAGAGAUCUUAGGGUCAAAAUUAGGGUCUUACAGUCUGUAUAUUCAAGAAUUUAUUCCGAUUGAUAUUUUAGGUAUUAUUCAUGAUGAAGAGCAUGUCAUGCUAUACAUAUGAUGCAAAUUGAAAUUAAAAAUCGAAUUUAUGAAAGUUUUAAAAUGUUCUGACAAAAUUGGGGUAUGACAAAGGUGUUAGCACCCAAAGUGUCUUAGGUACUCCUAGGGAGCCCUUUUUAUGUGUGCAUAUAUUUUUUGUAUAAAAGAUAUUUGAGAAAAUAUAGAGUGUGGGGAUGAGAAAAGAAUUCAUUGAUUAUAUUUUUGUGUUUGACAAGACCUGCGAUCUUAUGCCUACGUACCAACAUAGAAAUGAGGGCUCAGAACCUCGUAGUUUGUGGUAAAAAUUUCAAAGUUGGUGAAAUGCUUUUAACAAAAGUUUAAAUGAAAAGGCACAAAGGGACAAAAAUUUGAAUGAAGUUGUUAGUUCUUUUUGUUUUUUGAAAUUUUAAGUCAAUAUGGUUAAGUUUGUUUACAAGUUUGAUUUAAGAAAAAGGUUUGAAAAUUCAUUGGCAUAAGGCCAAACUUUCUAAUCAUUAAAACAAAGUCUAAGUUUGAAAUCACAAGCAAAUAAGGUUUUUGAAAAGUGGGAGAGAUUUGAAAAUUAAGAAGUGGGAGGAGAUGAAGAGGCUAUCCUAAGCACAAAUUUAAAGUUAAGAGUUGAAAAGAUCUGACCAAUGGGAUGCAAUCUAACAGACAAGACUGUCAUAUAGAAACCCACUUUCCCUUUGGACUAUGAAUCAAGUAAUAAUCAAUAAGAAAUUAGCAAUAUCCAGAUAUCAUGAAGAUCAAGGCAUCAAAUAAAGAUAGCCACAUCCAAGCAAGCAAUCCCGGAAGCUAGCAGUCUUCUUUGUCUUCUCAUGUAUUAGAUGAACUAUUCCUUGAUCAACUCAAAGCAAAGAAUCAGACAUAAGGUCAAAAUAAAAAUUAGCCCAAAGAUAGAGUAGCAGAUGAAUUCAAACAAAAUCCAAGGUUUGCAUCAGAUGAAGGCUCAGUUCACAAUAACUUGGUCUCAAAAUGUUGGCAUUGGCCAAGUCCUUUUUGCACAGGGAGUGUUGCCUAAUUCUAAGUCCAAGAAUUCAGAUCAAGAUCAACAGUCCACCAUAUGUUUUUUUAGGGUUUUUCUUGUUAUUAAGUAUUUUAAGGUUCUAAGACCAUAAACAAAAAACCAAAAACACACAAACAAUAUAUAAUCACAAGAUAUGGCUCAAAUGAGCAAAGUGAAAAUGACAUAAGCAUAAACAAGUUAAGUGAAAUGUAAAUGACAAUGAAUGAUAAAUGACUGAAAUUUAAAUUGCAUAAAGUAAAUGACUUGAAAGUAAAGCAACAUUAAUAAUAAUUACUCAAAUGUUAUUUAAGAGUUAAUCAAGUGUUAGUGGUGGUUUUUAAUUGAUUACGUCAUUCUUUGGAGAACACUCAACCAUUCUUUCACAAGUAUGAAUCCUUAAACAUAGACAUCUUCCAUGAGAAGGGCUCCAACUUGGAUAAUUCAAAAAGUAUGUCACUAGCUCUCAUGAAAGGAAAAAAGGUCAAGUUUCCACACAAUACCAUGAAGAAUGGGAGACUUAUAAUCUCACUUACUAGAAUGAUAUGCCAUUAGGGUCAAAUUUAGCUCUAUGUUAAGUAAUCAUAAUUGAACUUAUGUAGAAGUCACAACUAUCUGAGGCCGGGGAAUAAAAACUUAGGUGUUAAUGCAUGUUAGAGAUUUGGUAUGAAAAACCAAACUCCUAAAACAAACCACACAUUAAAAAAAAAGAUCAAGAGAGACAGACCUAUCUCAGUCAUACUUGUAUUGAUUCAUCUGACAUAAGGUCAUUGAUGAACCAAUUAGUCUUAAGACAUUAGAGAUUUCAUUGGUCCAAUGAGGGAAUGGGAAAGAAUAUGGAUGAAGAUGAAGAUGGAGGGUAACAUAGAAACACAAAUUGACCAAGGGAGGAUUUUCAUCAAAUCAAAACCCUCCAUUCAUUUUGGGAGAUGAAAUGUACAUUUCAUCAGUCCCCUAAAUCCAAUGGUUUUGAUCCAACAAAAUCCAAAUGAACCUUGACCAAUGCCGAAAUAGAAAGUCAAACAUCACAACACCAUAAAAAUGGCUCAACAUAAUUUUUGAACAUUUAAUCAAUUAAAAAUCUAAUUAAAAGUGAAUUAAAAUACAUUUUGUUUGGUCAAAACCUAAAAUCCCUUCAAAACACCAAAUAAAUGGCCAAGGGAUUUAUCCUAGGUCAAACAAGGUCAAAGGACCUUAGACAAAAAAUUUCACUAUUUUUAAAAAGUCAGAAAUACUUUUAAACAAUUAAAAAUAUGCAUAAAAACAUUUAAUUCAUGAAAAAUAUCAAAAUUAGUCCAAAAAAUAAUUUUAAUUCAGAAUAUGAAAGAGAAAAAUAUUUUUGGUGAAAGUCCUAUAGUUUUUGGAUUAAAAAUUAAAUUUCUAUAAAUAAAAUAAAAUAAGAGGAUUAAAUGAAAUUUCAAAAAAUAAAAAGAAAUUAGAAAAAACAAGGGUCAUCAAUAUUCCAUCAUUAAUUGAAGUGGCAGAUCUGAUGGCCACGCGUGCGCUUUCCAUGGUGGAUACGAGUCAAAGUGAUGUACGUGUGGUAACCAAAGGCAAUGGUUCAGAUUAAAACAUCCCAACGUGAUCAGAUGGCCAAGAGGUGUGCUAACACACCACCGGAGCUAUGGCUCCGAUCAUCUUCUCUGGUGACCUCCACCGGACUGGUCCAACUUCAUCUCAACGGAAAAUGAAAAACAAGGACACUAUUUCAAAGAGAAAAUGCUCAGGAUCUCGAAUCUGGCCUCAAUUUUCUCCAAUUCCAAGUAUAUAAAAAGAUACUGGGAUUGGAAUUUUGAGGAUCAUGAACUGAGUUGCUUCGAUUUGACCUCAAAGCAACUCAAUCGUGUUGCCUACAUUGCUAGGCCUUCAGCCAACCAAAAAUCAAAGAUAAUGGUGAAGAAUUGAGAGAGAAUCGAAGAGAUGAAGUUUUUGAAAAUUCACCUUUGAGAGAGCUUGAAUCUUGUUUGAUCUUGCUUCCAAUUGGCCUUGGCUUGACUUCAGAAGCUUGCAGAAGUUGAAUUGGAUCAAGGAAAGGCUUGGAUUCUUGGAGUUUUAACUUUAAAACUGAAGUAAAAUUGAAACUCAAUUUUCAAUUGAAAACCUUCAAGUUUUUCCUCUAAUGGUGAGGGUUAGGAUUGCAGGUUCAAAGCUUGGGCAAGGUGUCCAUAAUUCUGAGCAUGAGGGGUUGUAUUUAUAGGCAAUGCAAUUGCUUUCGACGCACUUCAUUCAAAAUGCCAAAAACAGCAAUUUACUCUUGCAUGGUUGCUUGGGCGUGUGUUAGGCCCAUGAAAUGAUGUAAUCGGUUCCAAAUUUCAUCAUGUGUAAUGCUGAAAGUGUGUCAUGUAAUCAUGCAAUGGAAAUUGGAAUGUGAGCAUGAGAUUCAUCCAAAUGGAGCCUUGAAGAGAAACCGUGUGCAAGUCAUCCAAUUCUUGGCCAAAUGAGAUGAUCGAGGACUUUUAGCGAAGGUGAGAUCAAGGGGAACAACUUUUAUGUUGAAUACUUUUCCAUUUGAAGCUUGGAUCAUGAUGAAUUUUGAGUUGGAAGUUUGGAAAAUCAAACAUAAAUGAAAAUUUUCUAAGUAUCAAGCCAAAUGUUCACUUCUUCCACCUUGAAGAACUUUUACCAUGGGCUUCAAACGGAAAACGUUCCUUCAUUAAAGUUGUAGAUUUUUAAAACCUCAUUUGGAUUUGGCAUGAAGGAGUUAUACAUUUUAGAAGCUGAGGAAAAUCACUUGUUCAAUGGUAAUGGCCCAAAAUGACCUAUAACUUUUCCUCUUGGCACAUGCAUUUGAAAUUUUAAUUUUAAUUUCAUUCAAGAAUAAAAGUUGGAGAGGACAUAUUGAAAUUGAUCAUGGAACUUUGAUGGCCUUCAUAUCAUACAAAUUGAGAAAAUUAUGAUCCUUGGAAGUUUACCUCCUAACUAGGGUUCAGACAAAAUGACCUAUAAUAUUUCACCAUAAACAAUGACUUUACAAGCAAAACUAGAUCUUGACUUAAACAUGAAAGUUGUUUGUAAUGACAUAAGGAUUAACUUUUAUCUUGGAAUAAUUUUCACAUGACAACAAUUGUAGGAGAUAGGGUCUAGGAAACCCCGGUUUUAACAAGUUGACUUUCUCUGGUCAACCACCAUGCACCAACUUGCAAACUUGAAGUUCUAUUCAUCUCUUGGACUCAUGGAGGAUCACAUAUGUAUAAUAUGAUGUAAUAUGAAGUAUCCAUUGAAAUAUUUGAUCAAAUGAUGAAGAAACUUGUUAAGGAAGUCACACAAGAUACCUAGAUGAAUCAGGGCUUCCAACGCAAACAAGCUUCAAACUCUUGAUGAAUUAUUGAUAAAAAUGAUAAGUGAAGAUCAUGGGGAUCCAUAUAUGAUUUCUAGAGUCAAUGUUAACCAUAUAUUGAUUAGUCUCCUUGCAUUGAGGGUCUUAAAUCCUAGAUAUGAUCUUGAUGAGGCUUUGGUGAACACACACACUUCCUACAAAAGAAGUAAACUAUACAUUGACAUAUUCUUGGUAUUUGGGUUAGUAAACAAGGAAAAACAAAGUAUGAUACAAUCAAAUGUGCUUGGUGAUCUCUCUCAAUGCAAACCCAAUGAAUGAGGGGCGAGGAGGAUGCCAAGGUGUGAUCCCAAAGCCAAUGCAUAUGAUGAGAUACCAUGAGGGAUCUUAGGGUCAAAAUUGGGGUCUUACAGCUUCCCUUAUUUAAGGACAUUCUAACUGAGGAUGUGAAGGUUAAAAUCUUCGUGUCAAAGCAAUAGAAUGGACUUAACUAACAACAUAUAGAAACAAAUUUUGGUCCCUAAGAGACCUCAUGGUGCAUAUGAUAUGAAUGUUAAAAGAAAUCUUUGCGGGGAAUAUAUUGCCACAAAAGGAAAAGAAUCCGGAGAGACUGAAAGUCCAUAGGAGCGUAAUGCAUUCCAUAAGGAAAACUCACCAGGGAGACUCUGGGGAUAAAAGUUGUGCAUAGGCCAGGCUACGACUUGAAAACUGCUGGAGACACUGGGUAUUUUCCAUGAAAAUAAAUCAAUGGAAGGAUUCAGUUUGGGGAUAAGGGACAUCUGCAGGGGAAACUGGUGAAUCGAAACAAAGAUGAAAUAUGUGAAUCAAACUCAACUGGGGAAGAAUGAACUUCAACACAGGAGUACCAGAAAUAGUUAUUUAUUAUUGAUUAUUGGGUAGGAAGAUAAUACACUCUGAUAGAGGGACAUCUGUUACCGGUUAGGGUAAACAUAUCAAGGAUGACUUGCUGAGGAGAAAGAGGUGUAUUCAUUACCUGUUACUGGUUAAGAAUAACUUGUUGGGGAAAAAGAUCAAAUAAGAUUUACAACUACUGGUUACUGAGUAGAAGGCCAAAAGGAGAGAAUAUUUGUCACCUGUUAAAGUGAACAUAUCAAGGAUAACUCAAGGGAAGAAUAUCGGUCAUCGGUUAAGAUGAACAUAUCAAGGAUAGAUUGCCGGGGGAAAAUAGGAAUUAUAUCUAUCAGUUACUGGAUAGAAUAGCAAAGAAAAAAUAUUUGUCAUCGGUUAGGGUGAACAUAUCAAGGAUAAACUCAAAGGAGAAAGUAGGAUUUACAACUACCGGUUACUGGGCAGAAGACCACGAAAAGGAGAAAAUAUGUCAUCGAUUAAGAUGAACAUAUCAAGGAUUAACUCUCUGAGGAUAAGAGUAGGGAUUACAACUACCUUUUUACUGGGUAGAAAACCACAACGGGAGAAUAUCCGUCACCGGUUAGGAUGAUCAUAUCAAGGAUAUACUGCUUGGGGAAACAUGGAAACGAAUCCACUAGGGAAAACAAAGAAAGUGAAUUACAUUUAUCAGAUAUUGGGAAAAAGUAAAGUACUCAAAAGUUGAGAAGAAUAUUACCAGUUACUGGGUAAUAGACUCCCAAUGGACCAAAAUAUCUAUCUAGGUAAUAGUUAGAAAGAAACUGUCAAACAAAGACUCGACCCAAUGAGGAUAUAUCUCAAGGGGAGUGGUUCUAUCCAGAUAAUCAUAUGGGGAGGAAACUGAAACAAUAAUCAUCCGAGAGGAAGUAACUCAGUAGGGAAAUGAGAAAGGUUAAACUUUUUCUGCUUAAAGAGGUUGACAAUCUACAAUUGAAAGAGGACGGGCACACCAAAUCUGCACGGGUAAAUGAUAUCACUGAAGCAAGGGAUCAGAGUAAUGAAAUCAAAUGCAAUAAAAUGCAUAAUGAAAUAUUUGAUGAAUAUGAAUGUAUAUGAUUGAUGAUUAUGCUGACAAAAUAACACAAAGAUUGGAAUCACUACUGCAACACUCGACUAAUCUCAAUAAGAUGGAAACACCAACUGGAGAAAAUGCUAGGGAUGAAAAUAAAUCAUCUAGCUCUGAACAAAUCAACCCUGGCUAGGAAAGUCAUGGAGAACAUGCUUCCAACCAAUCCCGGAAAACUCCACGGGGAGAAAGAGCACUGCUGAAGGAUACACAAACAUGUCGAGGAUCAGAGAGAAGAUCUACUGAGGAUCCAAAUUGUCAACUUCGCAGGGAAUUUUAGGUCAACCCCAUACCACAUGAGAGAUAACCCUGUCAGGGACAAAACCAAAAUACUGCUCAGAAUCCAAAACUGCCGAGAACGUGGGAUCUUCAAUAUCUGAAGAUGAACUCUGCUGGGGAAUACAAGAGAUAAACCUUUGCAUGGAGAUCUAAGCAAAUUGCUGAGAAUGCUACAUCUAAGAUCAUCACAUUCCUCAAUAAUCAACAAAUUCUCCUUAGAAAUUGCGAAAUAAACCAAUUCCAAGGAAAAGAAAACCGGAUUUGAUAAAAUGCUGAAGUUAUGUAACACAAAUAUGCUAAUGGAGACCAAAUAAAGGUUCCAGAUCUCUAAAGUCCAACCAUAAACUGGAAGAUAACAACAGGAGCACCAUAGUUUAGGAAACAUGGAUUUGCAAAAGGGAUCAAUCAUCAUCUCGACUCCACUGGGAUGUGACCCAUCUAUUCAGCUGAGGAUAACUGACGAAUUGUUGCGGAAGAAAAUAGUUACCAAAUUGACUCCUUAGGGAAGGCCAACAAGGCUUCGCACUUCAAGACUUACCUGUUCUCAAAUUGUUGUUGGCAUUCCUUACUGAAAUCGAUUAUUCUUAAAGUGAUUGUUUUUAUUAUUUUUAAGAAAAAAUAAUUUUUAUUCAUUAUUUCAAAAUUAUCAUCAUUAAAAAUUCAAUUUUAUUUAGCAGAAGUAAAUAAGAGUAGAAACAAUUGGAUAAAAGCUCAACUUUGUUUAAUAGAAUGGUAGUUUGUAAAUGACAGGACUCCAUAGAUUUUUACAAAGUUGGAAAAGGGGUACAUUGAAUACAAUGAUCACUACUCUCCCUACCAACGUCAGUGUCCAUUAUGCUCUUGGCUUCGGUUCAAAAUAAUGAAUCAGAACCAAAUGACCUGUUCAAAACUGCCUCCAUGAUUAGGACCAACCGAAUGCAGUUACUUGCCAUAAUCCCAAUUUUUUGCCUAGAUUGCCCCAAGUUGGGGUACGCAAUCUACCAGGAUGAAUUUUCUAUUUUAUGUCUCUAAUUGUUUUUGCCUGGAUCGCCCUUUCGAGUUUUCAAUCCACUGAGAUGCUCAUUUUUGCCUAAGCCUCCCUUUUGGGUUUUCAACUUAGUGAGCUGUUCUUUUCUUUUUUAGGAAAGUAUUUCUUGACUGCAUCGACAUUCACAAGACGGGUGAACUCUUCACCAUCCAUAAUUGUAAGAAUCAAAGCACCGCCCUGAAAAGGCUCUCUUAACAACAUACGGGCCUUCAUAAUUAGAAGUCCAUUUGCCCCUAGCAUCAGGUUUGAAAGAUAUGAUCCUUUUUUAGCACGAGGUCACCUUCUUUAAACACAUGACGCCUGACCUUCUUAUUAAAUGUCUUCUUCAUUCUUUGCUGAUAUAACUGACCAUGACACAUGGUGUAAGACCCUAAUUUUGGCCCUAAGAUCCCUCAUGGCAUCAUAACAUUGCAUUUGCAUAGGCUCAAGGAUCAUAAGCAUCUUGGCUCCUUCCCUUUGGGUGGGAUCUAUCUUGUAAGUGGUUUGAGAUCACCAAGCAUGCUUAAAUUGUAUAUUAUUGCUUUUCUCAUUUUAUUUACUAACCAAAAGCACAAAAAUAUGUCACUAACAUUUCUUGUUUGUAGCUUGAGCAAUCACAAGAUCCAAAGCUUCUAGGAGAUCCUUUGUGCAUUGAUAUGGUCAGUUUAAGAUGAAAACAAGAAUGGUAAUGGUUCCCAAAGCUCUCAUCCAUCAAAUAUGCCUCCCAAGUAUCUCAGUUCAUCAUUUUGAUCAAAGCAAGUCAAGGGGUUUGAGUUUUGUUUCCCAAGGAAACCCUAAUUCAUCUGGUCAUCAACUGUGCCUUGCUCAUGAAGCAACCUCAAUCCAUGGUCAAAUACAAUCAAGGGAAGUUAUUUAAUUCAUCAUCUCAUGCAUAUUUGAACUUAUUUGAGUUUCCUCAAUCAUCAAUUCAUCAAGAUAUGAGUUGUGGACUUGAGAAGUUAAUCAGUCAACUCAUCUGACUAUUUUGAAAUACACUGAGACCUAACUUUUUAUGUGUUGGUCAAAUGGAAAUUAUACCAAGAGAAAAAAAUUUGUUAAGGACAACAUGAACAACUUUCAUGUUCAUCAAAAUUUUAUUUAAAGCUUGGAAGGUCAUCAUCCAUUCCAAGACAUUAUAGGUCAUUUUUACUGAAACCCUAAUUUUGGGUCAACUUCCCAAGAACAUAACUCAUUCAUUUUUCAUUUUUUUGAGGUGAGACUUAAUGAAAUGGAAAUCUUAUUAUGUCUACUUUAAAUUUUAUGUUGAGAAAAAUUUAAAAAUCUCAAAAUAAAUACAUGUGAUAAUGCAAAAUAUUAUGGUCACUUUGGGCCAAAUGCAUUGAAAUGUGAAAAAAUCCAACUUCAAGUGCCCAUAACUUCUUCACUAAAAAUCCAAAUGAUGCAAAAUUUAAGUCCAAAUUGAUUGCCUUGAAAAUAUAUACAACGUUCAUGUUGAAGAUUUUAUCAUUUGGAGCUUGCAUCAUUGAAACAUAAGGGCUUGAACAUUGGCCAAAUUUGGAAACUUCACAAAUGCAUGUUUUGCACCCUACACUUCAAGCUCCAAUUUAAUUAAUUUCCAAGGCCCAAUUGGAGUCUUGAUCAAAAUAGCAUUUGUUCCUUAUGAAACAAGCUUUCUAACCAUUACUCAUAAGGUUGCAUUUGGAGUUUGGAAGCAUCAUUUUCGAAGACAUGAAGAAUUAAGUGCAUUUUGUGAAAUUCAUUUCAAACUCAUUGCAUGAGUUGUUAACAUUUAAUUUGCACGUCCAUUUCUCAUUUGGUGAGGCAUAGCAAUCCAUUCCAAUCAUAAUUGGGCCCUCCAUGCGCAUGUACAUGCCCAUGCAUGGAGGCCCUCUUCUCCCAUGCACACUUUGUUCAUUGCAUUUCAGAUGGCUUUGGCUAUAAAUACAAGUGCUUUGCUCUUCAAUUCUUCAACCUAAUGGCGCCUAAAUCCCUGUUGAAUUGAAUCCCCACCCAUACCAAAGGAACAAACUUCAUUUUUCUAUAAAAAUUUCAGAUCUGAAAUUCAAUUGCAUUGAUUGAUUUUUAAGAUCUAAAGUUCCUAGACCUCUUCACCUUGAUCCAUUGAACCUUCUGUUUGCAAAAGUAAUCAAAGAGAGUGACUCAAUUCUUCACAAUCCAAAGGUUUUGCUCAACUGAAUUUUGCUUCGAAUCUCAUCAUACAUUGCUCCAUUUGCCUUGAUCUUGUGUUGUAUGAAGUCCUCUAUAUAAGGGCAUCAUUAUUGUCUUCUUAAUUGUUGAAAUCGAGCAAGUUCAGUUGAACACCACCAAAGUUCCAUCUCUGAUUUCUCUCUUAAUAGGGAUCUAGAGUGGAAUUGAGUGGCAUAGGAGUGAUGUACAUCACUCCACCUUUCGAAUGGUGAAGCAAGUUCAGUUGAACACCACCAAAGUUCCAUCUCUGAUUUCUCUCUUAAUAGGGAUCUAGAGUGGAAUUGAGUGGCAUAGGAGUGAUGUACAUCACUCCACCUUUCGAAUGGUGCCUGGAUCGUGCAUUUUAGUUAACAUUUUUUGACCUGCAAUUUUUUAUCUCCACCGGAGCUAGCCGGAGAAGACGGUGGCGCUGGCCACCGUCUGGUCUCCAAAUCCAAUCGUGGUCGUCCAUGUUUAUUUUUGGAUCUAAUCUCAGCAGUCCAAACUUAUGACUUAUUUUAAUUCAGCGUGUGAUGGCAUUGACUGUGGAACAUGUUGGACGCACGCUUAUGGAUGCUUGGAUCUUCCAGCUCAAUUAAUGAGCUCAGAUCCAAGGGCUCUCGCUUUUCCAUUUAUUUUAAUUCAGAUUUUAAUUUCUAUUUCAUUUUUUUAUUCCAUUUCAUUUUCUAAAAUUCAUAUCUCUUUUUUUAUUGGUCCAAAAAUUAUGGGACCAAUUGCAUUAUUUCUCUUUUAUUCUCUAGUUUCUAAAAAUGAUUUUUAAUAGUUUUUAUUUUAUCAUUUGCUAUUUUUUAGUAAUUUUCUCUUUUCUGGUUAUUUUUUAUUCAUUUUAAAUAGUUUUUGAUAUUCCAAAAAUACAAAAAUAUUUUCUCAACCUCUUUGAAUGAUGAUAGAUCUAUGAAAAAUAAUCUCAUCAAUUUAUUAAUUGAUUUGAUAUUUAUUUGAGAUUUUAGUUCAAUUAGGUUAUUUUUAUUCAUUUUUAAUUGACUAAAAAUAGUUUCUGACUUUUAAAAAUGCUGAAAUUUUUUGUCAAACUUUGUUUGACCUUGUUGAACUUGGGAUAAUUCACUUGGACUUUUCAAAGUUGAUUUGAAGUGAGUUUGAAGUUUGACCUUUCUUUAAUAUUUUAAUUCAAGUUUUAUUUUAAAUAUUAAAAAUUCCAAAAAUAUUUUGUUUAUUCCUUGACUUCCAAUCUUCAUUUUGCUUCUGUUUUCUAUUGUUUGACCUUGAUCUUCCCUAUCUUUGGUCAACAUUUGUUGAUUGGUACAUUCCAUUUCUUUUAAUGCACUUUAAUUCUUCAUUUCUAAUUCUUCUUCUUCUUCUUUUCUUUUCUUUUUUUUGAUCAAUGAGUUAGAGGUUGAUGGUUAGCAUUGAUUAGGGAGGUUUAAUCUUCCUUGAUUCAAAUCUAAUUUAUCUUGAUCAAAUGAUCAAGUGAAUGGCUUUGCAUUAAGGAUAGAUUGCUUUCUAAAUCAUGCAAAGGACUUAAACCAAUACAAGAUCAUUUCUCAUCUUCUUUUUGGCAUGGCAAGUUGUUGGGGUUUGAUUCGCUAAUCAAGACCUUUAACUUGUGUUGUUGCCUACAUUAUUAUUGACCGGCCCCAAAUAGUUGUGACUUCUACAUAAGUUCAAUUACGAUUGCUUAACAUAACGCUAAAUUUGCCUUAUGGCACACUAACUACUAACAUUAACCAUUAAGCAUUAACAUUUACUUUUUGCUCUUUACAUUUAUGCAAUUUACUAUUCUUGUACAUAUUAUUCAUUUGCUUUUCUCCUUUGCUCACUUGAGCACAUGUUUAUGCUAAUGCAAUUUGCCUUUUGUUCACUUGAGCACAUGUUUAUGCUAAUGCAAUUUUCCUUUUGCUCACUUGAGCACAUAAUUGUGUAUAUAUCAUUGUGCUUUUGUUUUGUUUCGAUUAUUGUGGACUAAAUGCAAAGAAAUGGACAAAUGGACUUAGACUUUAGGACUUCCCCUAUGCAAAUUUGGAGUCAAAGAGUAACUAGGCAUUGGGCCUUUAGAAUGCUAUAAGUGCUAAAGAAAACUUUGGAAGGACCAAUUUCUAAACUCUUGCUUGUUCAUUCUUGAUUUGUUUGAUAGAACUUUUUAAUGUGUGUGUUCUUGUGCUAGGGAUUCCAACAUUGAUCCUAAGUGAGGAACCAUUGCCAUGAGCUUCUAAGAGAGAGAGAGAUCUAAGAGCCAUUGAGGGACUUUCCAAGAGCUUAAUUGAUUGUUGAUUGCUUGAGCUUACUAUUAUUUUGCUUGCAUAUUCCAAAGGAUGGGAGCUACUUGGAUCAUCAAUAUGAUCUCAAGAGAGGAACUCCAUGUGUGGUCUUGUUUCUUAUCCCUUAUCUCUUGUAUGAUUAGAACUUUAGCCAUUCUUCUUCUUCCCUCCACUCUAACCCAAGCCAAAACUUUUGUGCAAACAUUUAACACUUCUUCUUUUUUAACAUUAGAAACCUAAGCCUUAUGCUUUUGAUUUUCAAACUUUCUUUUCAUAACACUUAUUUUGAAUUGAACUUUUAAGUCAACUUUGACCAUAUUUUGUACAUACUUUUCAUUGGUAAAUAUAACUCAUUCAAAUACUUUNNNNNNNNNNNNNNNNNNNNNNNNNNNNNNNNNNNNNNNNNNNNNNNNNNNNNNNNNNNNNNNNNNNNNNNNNNNNNNNNNNNNNNNNNNNNNNNNNNNNNNNNNNNNNNNNNNNNNNNNNNNNNNNNNNNNNNNNNNNNNNNNNNNNNNNNNNNNNNNNNNNNNNNNNNNNNNNNNNNNNNNNNNNNNNNNNNNNNNNNNNNNNNNNNNNNNNNNNNNNNNNNNNNNNNNNNNNNNNNNNNNNNNNNNNNNNNNNNNNNNNNNNNNNNNNNNNNNNNNNNNNNNNNNNNNNNNNNNNNNNNNNNNNNNNNNNNNNNNNNNNNNNNNNNNNNNNNNNNNNNNNNNNNNNNNNNNNNNNNNNNNNNNNNNNNNNNNNNNNNNNNNNNNNNNNNNNNNNNNNNNNNNNNNNNNNNNNNNNNNNNNNNNNNNNNNNNNNNNNNNNNNNNNNNNNNNNNNNNNNNNNNNNNNNNNNNNNNNNNNNNNNNNNNNNNNNNNNNNNNNNNNNNNNNNNNNNNNNNNNNNNNNNNNNNNNNNNNNNNNNNNNNNNNNNNNNNNNNNNNNNNNNNNNNNNNNNNNNNNNNNNNNNNNNNNNNNNNNNNNNNNNNNNNNNNNNNNNNNNNNNNNNNNNNNNNNNNNNNNNNNNNNNNNNNNNNNNNNNNNNNNNNNNNNNNNNNNNNNNNNNNNNNNNNNNNNNNNNNNNNNNNNNNNNNNNNNNNNNNNNNNNNNNNNNNNNNNNNNNNNNNNNNNNNNNNNNNNNNNNNNNNNNNNNNNNNNNNNNNNNNNNNNNNNNNNNNNNNNNNNNNNNNNNNNNNNNNNNNNNNNNNNNNNNNNNNNNNNNNNNNNNNNNNNNNNNNNNNNNNNNNNNNNNNNNNNNNNNNNNNNNNNNNNNNNNNNNNNNNNNNNNNNNNNNNNNNNNNNNNNNNNNNNNNNNNNNNNNNNNNNNNNNNNNNNNNNNNNNNNNNNNNNNNNNNNNNNNNNNNNNNNNNNNNNNNNNNNNNNNNNNNNNNNNNNNNNNNNNNNNNNNNNNNNNNNNNNNNNNNNNNNNNNNNNNNNNNNNNNNNNNNNNNNNNNNNNNNNNNNNNNNNNNNNNNNNNNNNNNNNNNNNNNNNNNNNNNNNNNNNNNNNNNNNNNNNNNNNNNNNNNNNNNNNNNNNNNNNNNNNNNNNNNNNNNNNNNNNNNNNNNNNNNNNNNNNNNNNNNNNNNNNNNNNNNNNNNNNNNNNNNNNNNNNNNNNNNNNNNNNNNNNNNNNNNNNNNNNNNNNNNNNNNNNNNNNNNNNNNNNNNNNNNNNNNNNNNNNNNNNNNNNNNNNNNNNNNNNNNNNNNNNNNNNNNNNNNNNNNNNNNNNNNNNNNNNNNNNNNNNNNNNNNNNNNNNNNNNNNNNNNNNNNNNNNNNNNNNNNNNNNNNNNNNNNNNNNNNNNNNNNNNNNNNNNNNNNNNNNNNNNNNNNNNNNNNNNNNNNNNNNNNNNNNNNNNNNNNNNNNNNNNNNNNNNNNNNNNNNNNNNNNNNNNNNNNNNNNNNNNNNNNNNNNNNNNNNNNNNNNNNNNNNNNNNNNNNNNNNNNNNNNNNNNNNNNNNNNNNNNNNNNNNNNNNNNNNNNNNNNNNNNNNNNNNNNNNNNNNNNNNNNNNNNNNNNNNNNNNNNNNNNNNNNNNNNNNNNNNNNNNNNNNNNNNNNNNNNNNNNNNNNNNNNNNNNNNNNNNNNNNNNNNNNNNNNNNNNNNNNNNNNNNNNNNNNNNNNNNNNNNNNNNNNNNNNNNNNNNNNNNNNNNNNNNNNNNNNNNNNNNNNNNNNNNNNNNNNNNNNNNNNNNNNNNNNNNNNNNNNNNNNNNNNNNNNNNNNNNNNNNNNNNNNNNNNNNNNNNNNNNNNNNNNNNNNNNNNNNNNNNNNNNNNNNNNNNNNNNNNNNNNNNNNNNNNNNNNNNNNNNNNNNNNNNNNNNNNNNNNNNNNNNNNNNNNNNNNNNNNNNNNNNNNNNNNNNNNNNNNNNNNNNNNNNNNNNNNNNNNNNNNNNNNNNNNNNNNNNNNNNNNNNNNNNNNNNNNNNNNNNNNNNNNNNNNNNNNNNNNNNNNNNNNNNNNNNNNNNNNNNNNNNNNNNNNNNNNNNNNNNNNNNNNNNNNNNNNNNNNNNNNNNNNNNNNNNNNNNNNNNNNNNNNNNNNNNNNNNNNNNNNNNNNNNNNNNNNNNNNNNNNNNNNNNNNNNNNNNNNNNNNNNNNNNNNNNNNNNNNNNNNNNNNNNNNNNNNNNNNNNNNNNNNNNNNNNNNNNNNNNNNNNNNNNNNNNNNNNNNNNNNNNNNNNNNNNNNNNNNNNNNNNNNNNNNUUUUGUGACAUAUUUUUGUGCAAUUUGGGAUUACUGUAUUGUAUGUAAUGAUUGAAUUGCUUGAAUAUUAAUUCCUUGUAUGCUUGGUGAUCUUUGUGAGAUGAGUUCUAUACCCGAACUCGAGUGCACUUAGGAUAGGAGAAUGGCAUAGUCUUGUUGAUUUGUGUGGAGUUAUUCCUUAGAAAGUUGACUUGCAAGUCCAUUCACUUGGUGGAGGUCAUGUUGGGAUCAAUAAUGUCACACAAGUAGUUGCGGUUUGACAUUACUCUUUCCAAUAUAGACCUUAGAAGCCAAGGACCUUAGUUUACCAAGCCCAUCUUGGCUUAUUCUUAGGAUGUAGUGCGAAGGUCGUUCAAGUGUAAGAUUUGAUACGAUUGUUACGCGAUACUACAUUCAUAAGAGUCUCUCUUGAGAGUAUUUUUAGAAUACGAGUAGUCGUUUCUCCGAUAAUAUCCGAAAGAUGGGAUGAUGACUAUGGGAACCUCUUGUAGAACAUGUUUGGCAGGUUUAAACCCUAGUACGCUCCCUUUGGGAGGUUCUUAACCGAGACUCCAUGCUCAUGACUUGCAACAAACCCUUGAUUCAUGGUUGAUCCGUUCUUGUAUCCUUAAUAUCAAUGAACUUGGGUGUUGAUAAGGUGUAAACCAUAAUCCACCAAAAUGGAUGAUUGAUAUUAAGGAUGACAUGAUCUAUCCCAUGACCUUUGUUUGGUGUGUUUUGCUUGACCCUUGAGUGUGUUUGUUGCAUUCAUGCAUUCAUGCACCCAUUUUCAUCCAUAUCAUCAAUAAUAAGAAAAUUUUCAAGGAACUUAAGAGGUCUAUUUGCAAAUUUUCAGACAUGGAAAGACAAAGAAGGAAUACGAAGAAGUACGGUUUUAGACAACCCGACUUGAAAGAGCUAAGGAAUUUGACAUCCUAUGUAUUAGAUCCCUUGGGUUUCAAGGCUCGUUUUGGGAAGCUCCUAUCUAUUCUGACUACUCAAGUGGACGAAGGAUUGAUGAGUGUAUUGGUGCAGUUUUAUGAUCCCUUGUACCGUUGCUUCACAUUUCCGGAUUUUCAGCUUUUGCCCACGCUUGAGGAGUAUGCCUACCUUGUGGGUAUACCUAUUCUAGACCAGUUGCCGUUCAGUGGCUUAGAGAGUGUUCCUACUUCUCAAGAGAUAGCUGAUAUGUUGCAUAUGGAUGAAUCCCUGGUUGGUGCUCAUAUGACUACCAAAGGUGGAAUUCAAGGUCUCCCUUCUGAGUUCCUCAUUGCUUAAGCUACUAUGUAUGGGAAGGCCAUGAGUGCGGACGCCUUUGAGGCCAUAUUUGUACUUCUCAUCUAUGGGCUAGUGUUAUUCCCCAAGAUCGACAAGUUCGUGGAUGUGAACGCUAUUAGGAUUUUCUCUACUCUUAACCCUGUUCCGACUCUGUUGGGUGACACUUACUUUUCUUUGCAUAUGAGGAAUGCAAAGGGUGGUGGUACCAUUGUGUGUUGUUUGCCUCUGUUGUACAAGUGGUUUAUUUCUCACUUGCUGCAGACGGUCGCCUUCAAGGAGAACAAAGGAUGUCUACGGUGGUCCACGAGACUUAUGUCUCUCACCAAUGAUGAUAUCUUUUGGUACAACCGUGACCUUCAAGGAGAACAAAGGAUGUCUACGGUGGUCCACGAGACUUAUGUCUCUCACCAAUGAUGAUAUCUUUUGGUACAACCGUGUGUAUGAUGGUGUGCAGAUUAUCGACUCUUGUGGUGAAUUCUCUAAUGUACAUCUUCUUGGUACAUGUGGUGGGAUUAACUACAACCCUAUUUUGGCACGUCGUCAGCUUGGGUUCCCCCUAAAGGAUAAACCCAAUAACAUUCUGUUAGAGCGUGUGCUCUUUCAGGAGGGUAAAGAUCCCUAAGGCUUGAAGGGCAGGAUGGUCCACGCUUGGCGCAAGAUCCAUAGGAAAGGGAGGAAGGAGCUGGGUCCGAAGAACUGUAUCGCUUUGGAGCCUUAUACUUCUUGGGUUAGGAGGAGAGAUUCCGAAUACCUCAUGCCUUACGAGUAUCCGAGACCUACACCUUUGGUUUUGGCUAGGCCUUCAACCCUCCCUGACCAAGGAGUAGAGGAGUUGAGAGACGAAGACUGUUCACGUGCUUGGAUCCGUGAACGAGAGGAGUUGCUUCAGUAGAUCAGGGAGUAGGAUGCUUUGAUAGAGUUCCUUGAGCAUCAGGUUAUUGAUGAUCCUGAUGAUGCAUGGACUUCUCUACUUCCUCAGUCUUCCAAGUUUUGGAAAAGGAAGUACGAUCGACUUGCCAAAGAGAAGGCAGAUAUGGAGGCAGCCUACGAGAGGGAGGUGAAGAGGCUUCGUUCAUCUUAUCUUCCCAUCUCCCGAGCCUUAGAUGAUUGUUUCUAGGGAUCCAUAGGAUGUUAAUUUUCCUUCUCUCUUGUAUUACAUUUGGUUACCAAGACUGUACUUCUUUGGUGUAAAAAUAUUUCCAGAUAUUAUUGAUGAGAUAUUUCCAUAUGUGAUAAAUGUUUAAUAUUUCCAAUAUUUGCAAAUAGAACUCUAAAAGUUCCUCUGAUAAAUAAAAACAAAUCAUAUGCACAAGCAUUGCAUGCAUCAUNNNNNNNNNNNNNNNNNNNNNNNNNNNNNNNNNNNNNNNNNNNNNNNNNNNNNNNNNNNNNNNNNNNNNNNNNNNNNNNNNNNNNNNNNNNNNNNNNNNNGACCCUGCUAGAUUGGAGCAGAUAGGAAGAGCUUAGAAGUCUAUUGGUGUCCAGGAUGGAUCUGUCUUAGGGAAGAAGUUUGCCAUUGCUAUGCCUGAUUAUACUGAUUGGGUUAAGAAGAGAGUGGAAACUUUGUUAUUUCCCUAUGAUAGGAUGAACCUGUUGCAAGUGCAACCACCUUUGAUUCUUGCUGAGAGUGUACCUGCUGAGCGGUACAAGCAAUCCCUGAUGGAGAAUCGCUGAUUGAAGGAGAAAGAGCAAGAUGCCCAGAUGGAGUUGUAUCAAGCCAAAGCUGAUAGGUUGAACCUGACUCAUCAACUCAGAGACAUCCAGAGUGUAGAUGUUGGUGGAGUAAGGAGCAAGAAGAGUAUCUUAUGCAGAGAUGGAGAACUUGCUGAAUGCAGAGCACGCGAGAGUGUUUGAGAUUGCAGAGAGCUGAGGCCAUUAUCAGAAGAAGAUCAGAGAUUUGGAGAAGCAAACUCAGAGACAAAGAUAUCCAGUUGAAGAAGGAAGUCGACCAGAGACUUGCAUCAGAGAACCAACUGAGCGAGAAGUUGUAGAGCUUAGAAGACAGUUGAAGGAGAAGAUUACUCCCUUGCCAGAAUGUUCAGAGUGUGAACUGUUGAUAGACCAGUGUCACUACUUGAAGACGCUCAUUCCUGGAAGUCGUUUGUCUUAGCUUGUAUUUCUGAUGUAUAUGUUGAGAAUCACCCCCAGGCCUGUUGGGUGGGAUUCGUUGUUGUACUUUGAUGUAUCUGGAUCUUUGUUGACUUUGUUGUAUGAUCCUGUUGCUCAUUUAUAGAUGAGGUUGUUGGUUUCACUUUGUACUCAUUGCUCUUGUGUAUGUUGAUCCUGUGCUUCCUGUGUUGUUCUUGCUACAGGUUGCCAUCUUUUGAAGAUGAAUCAGGCUCUUUGAAUGCCUGAGGAAUGAACAUAUCAUGUGCAUCAUGUGCAUUAGCAUCAUACUCAUAUCAUAUUGCAUAACAGGUGUUCUUGCUCGUGACUUCUCACUCUGAUUCCUGUGUCAGGCAGGAUAGCUGAUCGAAGACCGCAUUGUUAUUCAACUAGACUCAAUCAACAGAGAACUAUGGAUCAGGUUCAGACCGAGUUGGAUGAGAUGAGGGCGAACAUGGCCCAAUUUAUGACGAUGAUGCAAGGGGUUGCGCAAGGUCAGGAAGAGCUUCGAUCCCUUGUUCAGAGACAAGAGACUGUGAUUCAGACGUCCAACCGUGCUUCGCCUGUUGUUGCACCUGCUCAUGAGAACGUUAAUGUUGCUGCUCCCGCUAACGACUAUGCCGUCGGGGAUGAGUUGAGGGGGAUAAGAAUUAAUGGACAGCCUCUUGCUGCAGAGACUGUCAAUGUCAGAGCUACCCGGGCUCCGAUUCAUCAUCAUGCUCCGAUUGUCGACAGACAAGAGGACAUGUUCACGCUGCUGAGUGAAGAUGAUGAAGUGGUCGGAAGAGUUGAGGAUAGGGAUCGUAAGGUUGAUGCCCUUGCUGAAAAGAUAAGAGCCAUGGAAUGUCAGAAUUCCUUGGGUUUCGAUGUGACCAAUAUGGGUCUAGUGGAAGGGUUGAGGAUCCCUUACAAAUUCAAGGCACCCUCUUUUGACAAAUACAAUGGUACUUCUUGCCCUCGCACCCAUGUGCAGGCUUAUUAUCGGAAAAUCUCUGCUUAUACCGAUGAUGAAAAGAUGUGGAUGUACUUUUUCCAAGAUAGUCUAUCUGGGGCUUCUUUGGACUGGUACAUGGAAUUAAAGAGAGAUUCUAUCCGAUGCUGGAGGGAUCUGGGUGAGGCCUUCUUGAGGCAAUAUAAGCAUAACAUGGACAUGGCGCCUAGCCGGACUCAGCUGCAGAGUCUAUGUCAGAAAUCAGGAGAAAGCUUCAAAGAGUACGCCCAGAGGUGGCGCGAAUUGGCUGCGAGAGUUCAACCCCCUAUGCUGGAAAGGGAGUUGACAGAUAUGUUUAUCGGUACUCUUCAGGGUGUGUUUAUGGACCGGAUGGGAAGCUGCCCAUUCGGUAGUUUUUCCGAUGUGGUUAUUUGUGGGGAGAGGACUGAGAGCUUGAUCAACGCUGGUAAGAUUCAAGAUGUUGGGUCCUCGUCUUCAAAGAAACCUUUUGCUGGGGCACCUCGCCGGAGAGAGGGUGAAACUAAUGCUGUUCAACACCACAAAAAUCAGAAUAGAAAUCAGUACCAUCAGAUUGCCGCAGUGACUAUUCCUGCACCUCAACAACGUCAACCUCCGCAACAACAGAGGGUUCAACAACAAAUGCCACAACAACAACAGGAACGUCCGUAUCAGCCGAGGCAGAGGAUGCCUGAUAGACGUUUCAAUCCACUACCAAUGACCUAUGCUGAGUUACUACCUGAGUUGUUCAGAUUAGGGUUCGUGGAACUGAGGACCAUGGCGCCAUUGACAAAAAUACCACCUGGGUAUGAUGCCAAUGUGCAUUGUGACUUUCAUUCUGCUGCGCCGGGACACCAUAUAGAGAACUGCAGGGCUUUUCAUCAUAAAGUCCAGGACUUGAUUGAUGCCAAGACUAUCAAUUUCACUCCUGUACCGAAUGUUGUAAAUAACCUUAUGCCUGCGCAUGAUGCUCACCGGGGUAACAGUAUUGAAGGGGCAGAGGUUGAAGAUUUGGUUGUCAGUGUGGACGAUGUUCAGACUUCUCUGUCAGUUAUCAAGGGCCGUUUGCUGAAUGGGGGUGUCUACCCGGGUUGUGAUAAAGACUGUGUUGCAUGUGCAGAAUCAGAUAAUGGGUGUGAUCAGUUGCAGGCCGGUAUUCAGAAGCUGAUUGACGAGGGUUGUGUCCAGUUUGUUCGGGCUGAUAGUAGAGAUCGUGGGGCAGUGUCAACUGUCACUAUCUUCUUUAAACCGUCUGAACAAGGUGGCCAGAGGGUUGUUAGUGCGCCUACAACAAGUGGUAAUCCUGUUACCAUCUCUGCACCCGUUACUGCCAGUAAUCCGCCAACAACAAUCGUUGCGCCAGUCAAACGGGCUGUGGACAGUAGGGUUGUGCCCUGGAAAUAUGAUAAUGCCUACCGUAGCAACAGAAGGGCUGAGAAUCGGGUCAAGCCAUCGAAUCAAGCGCCUGUAACAAUCGGUGUGCCAGUUAGUAGAGCUCCUGUGGUUAUGAGUCCCGUUGUGGACAAUGUUGGAGGUCCAGGAGGCUUUACUCGCAGUGGACGAUUGUUUGCUCCUCAACCGUUGAGGGAUGCCAAUGCUGAGGCUUCUGCUAAGUCGAAGGGAAAACAGGCUGUGGUUGACGAAGAACCGGCUCAGAAGGAUGUGCCUGAGGGUUCGUUUGAAAAGGACGUGGAGGAAAUUAUGAGGAUAAUUAAGAAGAGUGACUACAAGAUCGUAGACCAACUCAACCAAACUCCGUCCAAAAUUUCAAUUCUCUCUUUGCUGCUGUGCUCUGAGGCACAUCGUAACGCCUUGUUGAAGAUGCUGAAUAUGGCGUAUGUACCUCAAGAGAUAUCCGUCAACCAACUGGAGGGUGUGAUUGCCAACGUGAGCACCAGGCAUGGUUUAGGGUUCAUAGACCUAGACUUGACGCCUGAGGGUCGUAAUCAUAACAAGGCCUUGCAUAUCACUAUGGAGUGCUAGGGUGCUGUGUUAUCUCACGUGUUGGUCAACACCGGCUCGUCGCUGAAUGUCUUGCCCAAGCAAAUUCUGAAGAAGAUAUCUGUUGAAGGGGUUGUGCUUACUCCAAGUGACCUGAUAGUUCGUGCAUUCGACGGAUCCAAACGUUCUGUGUUUGGUGAAGUUACCUUGCUUGUGAAGAUAGGUCCAGAGGUGUUUGACAUCAUCUUCUAUGUUAUGGACAUUCAGCCCGCCUACAGUUGUUUGUUGGGGCGUCCAUGGAUCCAUGCAGCAGGGGCAGUCUCGUCGACUCUCCACCAGAAGCUCAAGUAUGUCUGGAACGGUCAGAUUGUGACCGUGUGUGGCGAAGAAGAUAUCUUGGUGAGUCACCUAUCCUCGUUCAAAUAUGUCGAGGUGGAUGGCGAGAUCCACGAAACUUUAUGCCAGGCGUUUGAGACUGUCGCUCUCGAGGGGGUGGCGUGUGCUGAUUAGAGAAAGCCAGGUGCUUCGAUUGCUUCGUACAAGCAGGCCAAAGAGGUUGUUGACUCUGGCGAGGCUGAAGGCUGGGGCAAGAUGGUGGAUUUGCCGGUCAAAAAGGAUAAGUUUGGUAUUGGUUAUCAACCUUUGCAAGCGGAGCAAGGUGGUCAAGCAGGUCCGAGUACCUUUACCAGCGCUGGGCUGAUGAAUCACGGUGACGUCUUUGCAGCCGAUGUUGAAGAUGGUGACAGUGAUUAUGAUCUCGACAACUGGGUUCGCCCGCGUGCACCAGGGGAGAUUAUCAACAAUUGGACAGCAGAGGAUGUAGUCCAAGUUACUCUUCAAACAGAGUAAUUUUCUUUUGUUUUUUCAUUCUGCACAAAACCCUACGUUCUGCCCAAGGCGUAGUGGUUCAUUGUAGGGCCACAUCAUGUUUUACAAUUUUUAUCAUUAAUAAAGGACGUUUUGCAAACAAUUUUGUGAUCCUUGUCUUUCUAUUUUUGUUUUUCACUUUUUCAAAAUAAAAAUGGCAAUGUUUUUGUUUUUGUGACUUUAUUGAACUCUUUUUCUAAAACCAAGCAUUAAACAUGCAGAAGUGAUUUCACGACAUCUACUAUGAACAGUUCUGUUAUGGCUCAGUAUGAUUUCAAUAAUCCCAUCUACCAAGCUGAAGAGGAGAGUGAGGAAGACUAUGAACUCCCUAAAGAAUUGGUCAGAUUGUUAAAGCAAGAGGAAAGGGUCAUCCAACCUCAUCAGGAGGAGUUGGAGAUUGUUAAUCUUGGUAUUGAGGACGCCAGAAGAGAUAUCAAGAUCGGGGCUGCUUUGAAGACAGAGGUCAAGAGAAGAUUGAUUGAGAUGCUGAGAGAGUAUGUGGAGAUAUUCGCCUGGUCUUAUCAAGAUAUGCAUGGGCUGGAUACUGAUAUUGUGGUGCAUAGACUACCUCUCAGAGAUGAUUGUCCUUCGGUCAAGCAGAAGCUUCGUAGAACGAGUCCUGAUAUGGCAGUUAAAAUCAAGAAAGAGGUUCAGAAGCAGUUCGAUGCUGGUUUCUUGUCAGUAACCACUUAUCCCCCGUGGGUGGCCAACAUCGUUCCCGUGCCGAAGAAGGAUGGCAAAGUCAGAAUGUGUGUCGAUUACCGGGAUUUGAACAGAGCGAGUCCGAAAGAUGAUUUCCCAUUACCUCACAGUAUUGUAUGGAUAAUACGGCUCAAUACUCGGUAUUUCUUUUCAUGGAUGGUUUUCUCGGAAGAUGGCGCCAGAGGACAUGGAAAAGACGACAUUCAUUACACCUUGGGGCACGUUCUACUAUAAGGUGAUGCCAUUUGGGCUGAAGAAUGUCGGUGCUACCUAUCAGAGGGCUAUGAGGACUCUCUUUCAUGACAUGAUGCACAAAGAGAUUGAAGUGUACGUGGAUGAUAUGAUUGCGAAGUCGCAGACGGAAGAGGAGCACCUGGUUAAUUUGCAGAAGUUGUUUGAUAGAUUGGUAAAGUUCAAACUGAGGCUGAAUCCGAACAAAUGUACGUUUGGCGUGAGAUCAGGGAAGCUGUUAGGCUUCAUUGUCAGUGAGAAAGGGAUUGAGGUUGAUCCAGCAAAAGUCAAAGCUAUUCAAGAAAUGCCUGAACCAAGAACAGAAAAGCAGGUUCGUGGGUUUUUAGGGAGACUGAACUACAUUGCAAGGUUUGUAUCUCACUUAACUGCCACGUGUGAACCGAUAUUCAAAUUGCUUAGAAAGAAUCAAGCGAUCAGGUGGAAUGAUGAUUGUCAGAAAGCUUUUGACAAAAUUAAAGAGUAUUUACAGAAACCUCCGAUCCUAAUACCUCCAGUUCCAGGGAGACCGCUGAUAAUGUACCUGUCAGUAACCGAGAACUCAAUGGGGUGUGUAUUGGGACAACAUGACGAGGUUGGUCGAAAAGAGCAUGCAAUAUACUACCUUAGCAAAAAGUUUACCGACUGUGAAAUCAAAUAUUCACAGCUUGAGAAAACUUGUUGUGCUUUGGCAUGGGCUGCUCGCCGACUGAGGCAGUAUAUGUUGAACCAUACUACCUUAUUCCGACUGUGAAAUCAAAUAUUCACAGCUUGAGAAAACUUGUUGUGCUUUGGCAUGGGCUGCUCGCCGACUGAGGCAGUAUAUGUUGAACCAUACUACCUUAUUGAUUUCUAAGAUGGAUCCAGUGAAGUACAUCUUUGAGAAGCCGGCUCUCACCGGACGUGUUGCUCGAUGGUAGAUGACUUUAACAGAAUAUGAUAUCCAGUACACGUCGCAGAAGGCCAUCAAAGGUAGUGUUUUGUCAGACUAUCUCGCCGAGCAACCGAUCGAAAAUUAUCAGCCGAUGAUGUUUGAAUUCCCUGAUGAAGACAUCAUGUAUCUUAAGAUGAAAGAUUGUGAAGAGCCUCUUGUCGAGGAAGUAUCGGAUCCUGAUGACAAGUGGACACUGAUGUUUGAUGGGGCUGUGAAUGUAAACGGUAAUGGUGUUGGUGCAGUGCUGAUCAAUCCUAAAGGUGCUCAUAUACCUUUUUCUGCCAGAUUGACUUUUGACGUCACCAACAAUGAAGCUGAGUAUGAGGCUUAUAUCAUGGGGAUAGAAGAAGCCAUUGAUUUGAGGAUCAAAACGCUUGACAUCUAUGGAGAUUCCGCUCUAGUGAUUAAUCAGGUCAAUGGAGAUUGGAAUACUAACCAACCGCAUUUGAUUCCCUAUAGAGAUUACACCAGAAGAAUACUGACGAUCUUCAAGAAGGUGAAGUUGUAUCAUGUCCCCUGGGAUGAGAAUCAGAUGGUUGAUGCCUUGGCUACUUUGUCUUCUAUGAUCAAGGUUCAUUGGUUGAAUCAUGUGCCACAUGUUGCGGUGAAUCGACUCGAGAGGCCUGCGUAUGUGUUUGCAGCCGAGUCUGUUGUUGUUGAUAAAAAGCCAUGGUAUUAUGAUAUCAAGAACUUCCUCAAGAGCCAGGAAUAUCCUGAAGGUGCAUCGAAGAACGACAAGAAAACCCUGAGAAGGCUAGCUGGAAGCUUUUAUUUGAAUCAGGAUGAUGUGCUGUAUAAGAGAAACUUUGACAUGGUCUUGCUCAGAUGCGUGGAUAGACACGAAGCAGACAUGUUGAUGCAGGAAGUGCAUGAAGGUUCGUUUGGUACCCAUGUUGGUGGUCAUGCAAUGUCGAAGAAACUGUUGAGAGCCGGUUAUUACUGGAUGACUAUGGAAUCCGAUUGUUUCAAGUANNNNNNNNNNNNNNNNNNNNNNNNNNNNNNNNNNNNNNNNNNNNNNNNNNNNNNNNNNNNNNNNNNNNNNNNNNNNNNNNNNNNNNNNNNNNNNNNNNNNNNNNNNNNNNNNNNNNNNNNNNNNNNNNNNNNNNNNNNNNNNNNNNNNNNNNNNNNNNNNNNNNNNNNNNNNNNNNNNNNNNNNNNNNNNNNNNNNNNNNNNNNNNNNNNNNNNNNNNNNNNNNNNNNNNNNNNNNNNNNNNNNNNNNNNNNNNNNNNNNNNNNNNNNNNNNGACAUGUUAAUGCAGGAAGUUCAUGAAGGUUCCUUCGGUACUCAUGCCGGCGGACAUGCAAUGGCUAAGAAAUUGUUGAGAGCGGGUUAUUACUGGAUGACUAUGGAAUCCGAUUGUUUCAAGUAUGCUCGGAAGUGCCAUAAGUGUCAAAUUUAUGCUGAUAAGGUGCAUGUACCACCAAGCCCUCUGAAUGUCAUGAAUUCGCCUUGGCCGUUCGCCAUGUGGGGCAUUGAUAUGAUUGGGAAGAUUGAGCCUACUACUUUGAAUGGACAUCGCUUCAUCCUGGUUGCGAUUGAUUACUUCACCAAGUGGGUGGAAGCAACUUCCUAUGCUAAUGUUACCAAACAAGUGGUUGCCUGGUUCAUCAAGAAGGAAAUCAUCUAUCGUUAUGGAGUUCCUGAGAGAAUCAUCACUGAUAAUGGUUCGAAUCUCAAUAACAAGAUGAUGAAAGAGCUUUGCAGAGAUUUCAAGAUCGAACACCACAAUUCUUCUCCUUACAGACCAAAGAUGAAUGGUGUUGUAGAGGCGGCAAACAAGAAUAUCAAGAAGAUUGUGCAGAAGAUGGUCGUGACGUACAAGGAUUGGCAUGAGAUGCUGCCUUUCGCUUUGCAUGGGUACCGUACCUCAGUAUGUACAUCGACCGGGGCAACCCCGUACUCCCUUGUGUAUGGUAUGGAAGCAGUCCUACCUGUUGAAGUAGAGAUCCCUUCUCUGAGGGUUUUGUUAGAUGUUAAGCUGGAUGAAGCCGAGUGGAUUCGAACAAGGUUUAACGAGUUAAGCCUUAUCAAAGAGAGACGGAUAGCAGCUGUGUGCCAUGGGCAGUUAUAUCAGAGAAGGAUGAAGAGAGCCUUUGAUCAGAAAGUGCAUCCUCGAAGCUAUCAGAUUGGUGAUCUAGUCUUGAAGAGGAUCCUUCCUCCCGGUACAGAUAACAGGGACAAGUGGACUCCUAAUUAUGAAGGUCCAUAUGUUGUGAAGAAGGUCUUCUCUGGUGGAGCCUUGAUGCUUACAACUAUGGAUGGUGAAGAUUUUCCGUCCCCUGUUAACUCAGAUGUAGUCAAAAAAUACUUCGCAUAAAUUGACCCGCUGGACAAAAAGAAUAAAAGAGUCCAGGCAAAAAAGGGCAUCCCGGCGAACCAAAAAGCAGAAAGAAAAGGUUCGGGCAAAAAUUAGGGAAAAAUGAAAAGAAUUUGUACACCCGGUAAGUCGAAAACCCGCAAGGGCGACUUAGGCAAAAACGGGUAUCCCGGUGGAUUGAAAACCCGAAAGGGCGAUCCAGCCAAAAGAGGGAUUAAAGUGAAGACUACAGUCUGAGUUAUCUGUACUUCAUCGCGCUUCGUUGUCUGCCAUCUCGAAAGAUGUGAUCGGUCCAGUCAUUCUUCUCAGAAAGCAAGGAGUUGGGAGAAAAGCUGAUGAUCUGUGAGUUAUAACAGAAUUGGGAAAUAGUGGAUGCCGUGUUCACAUUGCCAUUAGGAUAGAUUUUUCCUUUUGUGCGCAAUUACCUCUUUCUAGGAAUUGCUUCCCAAUGUAUUCGCCUUUUCAGGCCCAUUUUCCAAUCAAUAAAAGUCGUUAUUCAGAUAAAUAGCUCUCCUAUUUUUAUUUUACCAUUUUGUUUGCAAAAACGUCCGAAUUUUUGAUAAACAUUGCAUAUAAAAACAUGAAGGCUAAACAAUAACUUGCAGAAAGAUAAAACAUUUGAAAAUCAUUUUGAAUGUUGAGGACACUUGAGCGUAUCUUGUCCAUGUAUCCCCUGGGGCAUUUUGUUGUGCUGUUUUGCAGGUUGUCAUUAAUAAAGGACGUUUCCACAACAGAUAUUUCCCAGGAAAGUAUGGAAGCUGUCAGUAUGUUCCCCUGCAGAGACGCCUUUGGAUAUUGUCUUCUAUCCUCAGCAGAUCUAGGGAUUGCUUAUUCCCAGCAGGCCUGGAAGUGGGUGUAUUCCCCAACAAAUAUUUCCCCAUUUGAGAUCCCCACUGAGUAUGAAGGGUGUGGUAUUCCCAGCGGAGGUGUCAGUGGAGUGUUGUUCCCUAGUAGUCGGGUUUGAAGUACUGUUAUCCCCAGCGUGGUCGUGAGCGCUCAUCCCUAGCAGGGUUGUGUAUGUCUCUCCCCAGCACAAAGUCUGAUAUAUUACUUUCCCCGCCAGCGUUUUGCUCUCCCUCAACAGAGUUGGUGUGUUACCCCAGACAGAGUUGCUUUUUCCAGCGGAUCUCCCGAGCAGAGGUUUGUGUUGAUGAUUUCCCUCAGCGAAGCCCCGAGUGGAGCGGGUUCAAAGAAAUUUAUCUCUAGCAGAGCUUAUCCCACCUGUGGAUUGGAUGAGUUUUCUGUAGCGGAAUGGUAUCUGCAUCCCCAAGCUGAGUCUAUCCUACCUAUGGAUCGGAGGAGCGCCCCCAGCGGAGUAGCAUCUAUUUUCCAAAGCAGAGUUUAUCCUAUUUGUGGAUUGGUUGGCUUUCCCCAGUGAAGUCGCCUGAUUACCCCUAGCAAAGUCGAUUUGUUACUCCCCCCAGCGAGUUGCCUUGUUUACUUUCCCCGGUGGAGUAGUAUUGUUGGUUCCUCAGCGCCGUCGCCGUUGGGUAGUCCUCAGCAAAGUCGCUUUGUUUGUUUCCCCAAGCGGAGUCCCCGAGUGGAUUGGGUCCUAUGAAGGAUGUCCCCAGCGGAGUCUAUCCUUUCCCCAGCAUCAGUGUUAUUUCUCCAGCACGAGUGAGAAGUCGGUGCUCUCCCCGCAGAGUAUUCCUCAAGCAGAGUCUCCCCACAGAGUUGGAGUAUCUGAUCCUCUGGUUCCUGAAGUCGGUGCUCUCCCCGCAGAGUAUUCCUCAAGCAGAGUCUCCCCACAGAGUUGGAGUAUCUGAUCCUCUGGUUCCCCAGCCAGAGUUUAUCAUUUUGCAUGUAGUAAUCAUUGCAUCCUCAAAAUGCGUAGCAUUUCCAUUCAAUAGGGAGCAUUACGCCAUAGAAAAAUUCAAACAUAUGCAUUCAUGUGUUAACCAGUCAGACCUUAUCCCCGGCAGAGGCGGAUGUUCAACAUGUGUACGACACGUUUGCUACAGUUGCCCCUGACAGCAUUCAGGAUUGAUACCCCAGAGUGGUUUAUUUCCUCAUCCGUUGGUGAAAGGAAAGCCUGUUUUAUCCCCAGUGAGAUCCCCUACAAGUGUUUAGCCUUGCCCCGACAUAUAUAGAUGUCUUCUCGUGAUACUGGUCAGUGUCAUGUCAGCGCCCACGUGUGUUAUUUCUUUGGUGUCGGUAAACACCAUCUUUCGGUGUACACAUCGAGUCUUUCCCAGUCAUUCGUUGAUGUCUGGUCUUCUUUUGAUGUCGGUAAACAUCAUCUCUCGAUGUUCGUAACACCCUUUACCCCCCAGAGGUUACCUCUCUGUUGGUUUCGAUAAACGUUGAGUUUUUUCUAGUCGUCCGUAGGCGUCUAGUUGGAUUUUCCCCAAUAAAGAGUCACCUUUCUCCGUUGGUGUCGAUAAACGUCGAGUUUUCCUAUGCGUCCGUUGACGUAUAGUUGCUUAUUCCCCACAGAUCAUUUGUUAAUGACUGUUGAUUCCCCUCAGAGUUACCUCUCCGUUGGUUUCGAUAAACGAUGAGUAAAAGGGUUAGCAGGCAACUACUAACCAACACAAGUGAAAAGGGGUAAAGAUUUACCUCUCCGUUGGUUUCGAUAAACGCUGAGUUUUUGCCUAUGCGUCCGUUGACGUGUAGUUGCUCUCCACAGAAUCACCUCUCCGUUGGUUUUGGUAAACUUUGAGUUUUUCUCAUUCGUCCGUUGACGUCUGAUUGUAUAUCCUAUUCCCCAGUCAUUCGUUAAUGUCUGGUUGGUUCCCAGCCAGAAUCCCCAGUAGAGUCGUCGGUGGACGUUCUAUUCGGUUUCCGGUUGUUGUAUCCCUUCCUUGGUCGAGUGGUCUCCUUCUCCGUUGGUGUCGAUAAACGUCGAGCUUCUCCCGUUCAUCCAUUGACGUCUGGUCGAGUUGUCUCCUUCUCCGUUGGUGUCGAUAAACGUCGAGCUUCUCCCGUUCGCCCGUUGACGUCUGGUCGAGUUUUCUCCUUCUCCGUUGGUGUCGAUAAACAUUGAGCUUCUCCCUUUCGUCCGUUGACGUCUGGUCGAGUAUUCCCAUUCAUCCGUUGAUGUCUGGUUACCUCUCCGUUGGUUUCGAUAAACGUCGAGUUUUUCCCAAUCGUCCGUUGAUGUUUGGUUGUGAUUAGCUUUUUCCCUAGUAAGUCUCCUUCUUCGUUGGUGUCGAUAAACGUUGAGCUUCUCCUUCUCCGUUGGUGUCGAUAAACGUUGAGCUUCUCCUUCUCCGUUGGUGUCGAUAAACGUUGAGCUUCUCCUUCUCGCAACCACAGCUAUUUGCAUGAGCUUCUCCUUCUCCGUUGGUGUCGAUAAACGUUGAGCUUCUCCUUCUCCGUUGGUGUCGAUAAACGUCGAGCUUCUCCCGUUCGUCCGUUGACGUCUGGUCGAGUCUUCCCAGUUCAUCCCUCGUCCGUUGAUGUUUGGUCACCUCUCCGUUGGUUUCGAUAGACGUCGAGUUUUUCCUGGUCGUCCCCAGUAGAGUUACCUCUCCGUUGGUUUUGGUAAACGUUGAGUUUUUCCCAUGUCGUCCGUUGACGUAUGGUUGUAUCUCUUUCCCAGUCAUUCGUUAAUGUCUGAUUACCUCUCCGUUGGUUUCGAUAAACGUCGAGUUUUUCCUAGUCGUCCGUUGACGUCUAGUUGUGAUUUCUAUUCACAUUCGUUGUCUUGUGAGGUCUGGAUGUGACAGUACCUUUGGAAGAGAAAAAACCAAAAUCCCCAGUAAUAAAUAUCAGAUCCCAGUGGACGUUUCUGUUGGUGGCUCCCCGCAGUGUGCAAAUUUCUACGGUUCUUGGUAUUCAAUCCCUGUUUACCCUGAAGGUCUGACAGCCGUUGCUCUCAUCCGUUCGGGUUCCCAAUUGAUUGAAUAGGGGCAGCUGUAGCACCUCAAAUUUGCACCUCCCAUUUUGUAAAUACAUUUUCAUUUUAGGUCAUUAACAUAACAUUGUCCACUGCAUAGCAUUGCAUUGUCCUUUGCCUAAGUGCAAGUCAUCAGUCAAGACUGGUCAGGAGAUCCAGUCAAGCAAGCAAGCAAGUGCAUUCUCUUUUGAAGCAAAGCCCUAAGGUUGGUUCAACAUGUUCAUAUGAUCUAGGGAUCAUUUUUAAGUGGUUUGGCCAAGGAUUGGAUGAUCAAAGCUCAACAGUCAAGCUGAAUUUCAUCUGAAACCCUAGAAGGUCAACUGUGGUCAACUGUGCAUGAAAUCAUGGAUUUGAAGGUAGGAGAUGGUUAGAGAGGCCUCAUUCAUGACCAUACAAGUCUCAUUUGACAUUUCAAAGAUCAACAUUGAAGAAUUUGAGGUCAGAAGAAAAGUUUCCAAAAAUAGUAAGUGACCUGUAAUUUCAAACUGCCAAAAAUGGAAAGGUCUUCUCCUCAAAUUUACAUGUCCAAGCAAGCUUCAAAUGGAAUUUUGUCCAACAUGAGAGUUGAAGAUCUUUCUCUCACCUUUCCAAAAAGUCCAAGAACAUCCAUUUCUCAUGUGUGGUUGAAGAAUUAUGAUCAAAUCAUUGUCAAUGGAUUUUGAACUUCAAACUUGGAUAACUUUCACACCACAAGGCCAAAUGGAGUGGGGUUUUUUGCUACAAUAUUGUUUUAACAUGCUCUAUCCAAAUCACGCAUUACCAUUCAUCAAAAAUCAUCACAAAAGUAUUGCAUGUUCCAUGUGAUUUGAAUUUGGAAUUUGGAGGGAAAAGUUUAUUUUCAAAAAUAUGCAUUUUCCACACAUAAUUUCACUUGCCUUUGCCUCCAAAUGACAUUUUGAGUUGAAUUGCAAAGAAAAACGUGUACUGUAGCAGCAUUUCCAUGCACAUGAGGUGGAUUAGCAAUUUUGCAUCACACUUGCAUUUCACUUAAAUUCAUUUGCAUUUGGCUAAUUAGGAUUAAGGUCUUGAUUAACAGCACAUAUAAAACAAUAAUCCUAACUGAAUUCAGGAUUAACACAUCAUUUGCACCAGAUCUAGAUCCAAUCACAAGAAUUGCACAAACUUUUUCUCUCCAUUUUUCUGCAAAUUUUCUCAUAGAACUUGCAUUGUUCUUGCUCGAUCCUUGAUGCACCAUCAUACACGCAUGAGUUCGUUAGGGUUUAGUUUCCAGAAGUGUUUUGAUCCGCCUGGCCGUGUUUUUGCAUGAAUUUUGUUGUUUGUGUGCCAUGCACCAAUCACAGCGCGCCACCUCACUUAAUGAAACGACGCGUUUCAUUAAGUGAGCGCUGGAUUUGAACUCAAGCACGGUUCGAUUCCGGCUCCAAGCAUUUCUCACUUUUGGGUUUUGCAUUUUCUUCAUCAUGCUACACAUAUUUCACCAUACCUCAUUCAUGCAUUUUUAAUUUUUCUCCACAUUUAAAAAUUCAUAACUCCUAAACUAUUAAUCCAAUUCACAUGGGAUUUUUUGUUCCAUGAUCCUUGCCAUGUCUACUAUUUUGUGGUGAUUUUUCCAAAUUUAUGCACGUGUGGAUUUUUAUUUUGGCUAGUGAAUGUUCAUACAUGUGUUUUGUUGCAUAAUGCUUGUUAUUUUGGUUGUGAAAUGGUGAUGCUUAAUCCAUUGAGGCUGAAAUUUUGCAUGUGUAAACUAGAGACCUUUAGGGAUUUUUUGGUAUAGAGUUUGUGAUUUUAUCAUUUCUGGUUGUGGAGAUAUGCUAUGAUGAAUGAAGGUGUGACAAUGUGUGUCACUGUAUAGAGUUUGUGAUUUUAUCAUUUCUGGUUGUGGAGAUAUGCUAUGAUGAAUGAAGGUGUGACAAUGUGUGUCACACCAUUUCUUGUCCAACUUGUUGAUUUUAUUUUCCAUGCCAUUCAUUUGCAAAAUACUCUGAAUUUUUGCAUGUUGACUCUUCUGGAUGUUAUGUUUGAGUAUGAAUAUUUAUAGAAUUUUUGAGUGCAUUUCCAAUUUGUUUGAGAUUUUCUCUUCUGUUUGACCAUUUGUGGACUUUUUGUGAGUCAUGAUCUUAUAUGAUUUGUGAAAUUCUUGAGGUUUAUUGGAUGGACUUGAAAUUUUUCACAUAUAUUCUAGACACACUGAAGUUUGUCAUGGCUUUGGGUUGAUGUCCAUAUCAUGUUUGGAUUCUGUUUUAUGCUUGUUUGAAGUUGAUGCAUGAUUUUGUGCCUUGUAUGAGCUUGUUUUGCCUUGCCUUGAAUUAUGGAUUUUAUUUGAUAUGCUUCCCUUUUUCCAAAUGACAUGAAAUUUGGUGUGUGGAUCAUGUGAUGAGUUCUGUUUAACCAUGAUGUUUCUGGAGAUUUAUUGAAUUGUUUUUGAGUUGAUGUGGAUUGAAUCACUCUGUUUGGUUCUAUGAGCUUCAAAUUGCAUGCUUUGCCUUCUUUGCCUCAUGAAAUGAAAUUGGUACAUGAUAUGAAUAUGAGACCACUUGGAUUUGUUUCUUAUUGGAUUAAACUUGAUUCUUACCAAUUUUCAUGUUCUGUUUUGGUUUAUUUCUCCCAUUUUGACCCUAGGCCUUGUCCUAGUGGUUAGUGCUUAAUGUUUGAGCUUUGUUUCAGGUCAAAGAGCACAAUUGCUUAUACUUGAUGAUGUGCUCUUGAUGAUGUGCACUCAAUUGGAGUUGGUCCAUUGCUUGUUUAUGACUAACCUUGAGUUUGUUUUGUAGGCUUUGAGACUUGUACUUGGGCCUUGUGGCUUGCACCUUUGUGCAUUGCUUUGCUUGAUUGUUGUUUGACUGUGUGCAGUUAACUGUUGACCAUUGUCUGUUUUACUUUUGUUUGAGUUGAGUACUGAUUAUGUUGGAUUGUUUUCAGGUACCUUAGUUGCUAUAGUUCCUUUGUGAACUUGCUUUUGCUUUGCUUUAUAGCUUGAGCAUUGAGGUAUAAUGACUCUAACUUCAUGUAGUCUGGAAGACCUGGCCUGUUACUUGGCCAGGCACCUGUCUGAAGUCCUCCUUAAGAGGCAAUGCUUGUGAUUGUUUAUAUUUGUCCCCAAGCAAGAAAAGACCUUUGAUAAGGCAAUUGGCAGAUACAAGAGAUGUGCAAUCCAUCUUCUGCUAUUCAGUUGAGUCAUCCCUUUGCUCACACACCUUGUGUUGAUGCAUUGUGGAUAUUAACCCAAGAUCCUUGUACAGUUGUGUCAGUCAUAAUUGGCAGAUACAAGAGAUGUGCAAUCCAUCUUCUGCUAUUCAGUUGAGUCAUCCCUUUGCUCACACACCUUGUGUUGAUGCAUUGUGGAUAUUAACCCAAGAUCCUUGUACAGUUGUGUCAGUCAUAAGUGUAGAAGGGUUCCAACUUUCUGAACCCACACUUUCAUCUGUCUAAAGCUCUCCCAGGCCAGGGAUAAGAGCUGUGAGGCACAUCCCUUACUUCCUAUUUCAUCUGCUUCACCCUAACUCUCAAUGUUAGGGUUAAGAGCUAACAUCACCAUGAUACAGUGGCUUGUUUGUCAAGGUUGACAUGACCCCUCGACUAAAGCCUAGCCUUGAUGUUUGAGCCCCUUGUUGGUGUGUUUACUUCAUGCUGUAUAAGUUUGUGUGGUGUGAUUGUAUCCCCUAGGUGCUAGACUCCGCGUAGUCUCGUUUGCAUGUCAAUUAAGGUAGCACGGUUCCUUCGUAUAGGACUUCCUUUCUUGCUUGAGCUUUCCUAAAACACAAAUUCCCCUAGGUGCUAGACUCCGCGUAGUCUCGUUUGCAUGUCAAUUAAGGUAGCACGGUUCCUUCGUAUAGGACUUCCUUUCUUGCUUGAGCUUUCCUAAAACACAAACAAACAUUAUCCCCUCUUAACGAUACGUCCACUCCUUCUACUACAAGUGAGUAAGUCUCCAAAGGUCGAGCAUCCGGUAGAUUACGUAGUGACGUCGUCCACUUAAAAAACACAAACCAAUAAGAAUAGUUUAGCCGAACUACGGCAACUCUGAUUCUCACAUCCAGAUGAGAUACGUAGGCACGAGAUGCGAUGUCUUGUCGAAUUUGACUGACGACUAACACUAACUCUUUUCUCUCGCCCUCGUUGCGAUUGAUACCUUCCCUUUCUCUUGCCCUAGUUGCAAUCGAGACCCUUCUUCUUCCUGUGUUGGUGUGGAGUCUGACGUAAGUCCAGCGAUUGGCAGUCGGUUUCCUGUUGGCGUGUUGGAGUCUGGCAUAAGUCUAGCGAUUUGCAGUCGGUUUCCCGUGUGGUUUUGUUUGGCGUGCGUUAGCCGAGCUACGAGUGCUCUGAUUCUUCUUUAGUCCGAGAAGAUACGUAUGCAUAGGAUGCGACAUCCUAGCGAGCAUGUUUUCCCCUAGUCCGAACUACGUCUGCCGAGCUACGAGUGCUCUGAUUCUUCUUUAGUCCGAGAAGAUACGUAUGCAUAGGAUGCGACAUCCUAGCGAGCAUGUUUUCCCCUAGUCCGAACUACGUCGACUCUGAUGUCUAUGCCUGAUAGAAUACGUAGGCCCAGGAUGCGAUAUCCUGCCGAGUUAGUGUCGUUUGUUUUCUUGUGUCUCUUUCAGCCAGUGUGUUUGUUUGUGAGCAGUUUUUAGCAACCAUAUUCCUUCCUUUUGUGUGUGGAUCCCGUCGAGUACGACGGAUGCGUAGGGGUGUUAAUACCUUCCCUUCGCAUAACCGACUCCCGAUCCUAUUCUCUUUGGUCGCGAGACCAUGUCUUUUCCAAGUUUACUUCGAGCGUUUCCUUUCCCUCCUUUGGGAUAAAUAACGCACGGUGGCGGCUCUGUUGUUCUAUUUUCCCGCCGGUUUUUUGCGUAAUGCGACAAGAGGGUGGCCAUUGAAACCACAAAAAAAAGCAUUUGAAUGAGUGGUAUUUACCAAUGAAAAGUAUGUACAAAAUAUGGUCAAAGUUGACUUAGAAGUUCAAUUCAAAAUAAGUGUUAUGAAAAGAAAGUUUGAAAAUCAAAAGCAUUAAGGCUUAGGUUAUCUAAUCGUUGAAAAGCAAGGUGUUAAUGUUGCCACAUAAGUCUUUGGCGGAGUUAGCAGUGGGAGAGAAAGAAAGAAAAGGCUAAAGUCCUAAGCAUCACAAGAGGUUAAGGGACAAGAAGCCAAAACCACAAUGAGUUCUCUCUACAUCUAUAUGAUGAUCCAGGUAUCUCCCAUCCUUUGGAAUAAGCAAGUCACUAAGCAUAAACUCAAAGCAAUCAACAAUCAGUGAACCCUUGGAAAGUCCUCAAUCAUUUUGGUCUCUCUUCUCUUUGGAAGGCUCAUGGUAAUGGUUCUCAAUUGGAUCAAGUUGGAAUCCCUAGCACAAACAACGCACAUAAAACAUCUAGCACAACAAAACAAUGGAAGGACAAGAAGGUAUUAGAAGGUUGGUCUUUCAAGGUCAUCUUUCAAUUAACAUUCUAAAGGCCAAUGCCUAGUGCUCUUUGACUUUUAUAGCACUCAAAGGCACAAUGCCUAGUUUCUCUUUGACUCCAAUUUGCAUCAGGGAAAGUCCUAAAGCGUAAGUCCUUUGUCCAUUUAUUUUACAUUUGGUCCACAACAAUCAAAACAAACACAAAGCAACAUAAGUAUAUACACAUUAUAUGCUCAAGUGAGCAAAGAAAAUUGCAUUACAUAAAGGCACACAUGAGCAAAGGAAAAGCAAUUAAUAAUAUGUACAAAUAGUAAAUUGCAUAAUGUAAAGUGCAAAAGUAUGUGUUAGGGCUUAAGAUUAGUGUAGUAGUUAGUGUGGCCAUAAGGCAAAUUUAGCGCUAUGUUAAGCAAUCGUAAUUGACUUAUGUGAACGUCACAAACUAUCUGAGGCCGGUCAAUAAUAAUGUAGGCAACAACACAAGUUAGAAGUCUUGAUUAGUGAACUAAGUUCCAACAACUUGCCAUGCCAAAAGAAAAAAGAGAAUUGAUCUUGUAUUGGUUUAAGACCUUUGCAUGGUUUAGGAAACAACCUAUCCUUAAUUCAAAGCCAUUCACUUGAUCAAUUGAUCAAGAUGAAUUAGAUUUGAAUAAAGGAAGAUUAAGUCUUCCUAAUCAAUGCUAACUUUUCAACCUUUAACUCAUUGAUAAAAAAUAAAUAAGAAGAAGAAGGAGAUGAAUAAUGGAUAAUGAAAAUGGAAAGAAGUAAGUGCAUUAAAUGAAAUGGAAUGUACCAAUCAACAAGUGUUGACCAAUGACAUUGAGGAUCAUGGUCAAACUAUAAAAAAAACAGAAGUAGGAUGAAGAUUGGAAAUCAAGAAAAUGAACAAAAUAUUUUUGGCAUUUUUAAUAUUCAAAAUAAACUUGAAUUAAAAUAUUAAAGAAAGGUCAAACUUCAAAAUCAAUUCAAAUCAACUUUGAAAAGUCCAGGUGAUUUAUCCCAAGUUCAACAAGGUCAAACAAAGUUUGACAAAAAAAUUCAGCAUUUUUAUAAGUCAGAAACUAUUUUUAAUCAAUUAAAAUGAAUAAAAAUAACCUAAUUGAACUAAAUUCUCAAAUAAAUCUCAAAUCAAUUAAUAAAUUGAUGAGAAUAUUUUUCAUAGAUCCAUCAUCAUUCAAAUAGGUUAGGAAAAUAUUUUUGUAUUUUUUGAAUAUUAAAAACUAUUUAAAAUGAAUUANAGGUUAGGAAAAUAUUUUUGUAUUUUUUGAAUAUUAAAAACUAUUUAAAAUGAAUUAAAAAUAACCAGAAAAGAGAAAAUUCAUAAAAAAUAUCUAAUGACAAAAUAAAAAAUAUUAAAAAUCAUUUUUAUAAACUAGAAUUUAAAUGGAGAAGAAUGCAAUUGGUCCCAUAUUUUUUGGAAUAAAAAUGAAGAAGUUAUUAAUUUUUGAAAAUAAAUGGAAUAAAAUAAAUUAAAACAGAAAUUAGAAAAUCAAAAAAAACCAUAGGCGUCUGAUCAAGCCUCAUUAAUUGACGUGGCUGACCAGACGGAUGUGAGAUGUGCGCUCAUGGUGAGUCCAAGUCAAAUGCGUCACACCUGGCAUUAAAGCAAGUAAUCCAAACGCAUGGAUGAGAUUAAAACGUGGGAGAUGCAUCCAAUGGUCCAGAUUCAAUCUGGCAUGGUGGACGGUGGCCGGCGCCACCGUCUUCUCUGGCGAGCACUCAAGCUCCGGCCAGAGUUGCAGGUCCUCAAAACUCAACCAAAUCUCACGAUCCAGGUACCAAAUUAAAGCGAGGAUGAUGUACAUUACCCCUGUGCCAUCUAUUCCUACUCUAGAUCUUCAUAGUGAGAGAAAUCAGAGGUUGAAACUUGAUGGUGUUCAUCAUGAACUUGCUCGAUUUUGAAAAUUGAGCAUACAUCAAUGAUGCCUCUAUAGAGAGGACUUCAGACAACACAAUAGCCAGGCAAAUAGAUCAAAGAUUAAGGAGUUUCGAAGAGAAAACCAGUUGAUGAAAACCUUUGAACUGUGGAGCUUUGAGUGACUUUCCUUGCUUCCUCUUGCUAAACAGAAUUUCUAUGUACUGGAUGAUGAAGGUUUAGGAACUUUAGAUCUGAAGAUUCAACCCAAUUCAGUUGAAUUUCAGAUCUGAAAUUUUAAAGAAAUGUGAACUAGUUCCUUUAGGUAUGGUUGGGGAUUCAAUUGUGCAGCAUAUCAGGCGCCUUCAGGUUGAGAUUUGAUGGAGGUAUGCACCUCUAUUUAUAACUGGAAUUGGCUGAGCAAGUGAGUUUCCUCGUGUGCAUGGCAAGUGGAUUUUCCUUGCAUGGGCUUGCAUGAUCAUGUAGAAGGCCCAAACUCAAUUGCAUUUGCAUGCUGAUGACCAAACAACUUGUGUGAGUUUCCUCGUGUGCAUGGCAAGUGGAUUUUCCUUGCAUGGGCUUGCAUGAUCAUGUAGAAGGCCCAAACUCAAUUGCAUUUGCAUGCUGAUGACCAAACAACUUGAAAUGGACGUGUAGUUGGAAAUGCAUAAGCUUGUGCAUGGAAUUCUAACAAGUUAUGCAUAAUUGAGCUUAAAACAUCACCUCUUCGAAAAUGCCACUUGAAAAAUUGAGACAUAGGCAUGUGGGUAAUGGUUAGAAAGGUACUGACAUAAGGAAAAAAUGUUAUUUUGGACCAAAACUCAUUUGGAGUGUGGAAAUUUAUGAAAACAGGCCAUGAAGUUCAUAGUGCAAAACAUGCCUUUGAGAAUUUUGCCAAAUUGGUCCAACUUUAAGCCCUUCUGUUUUGAUGAUGUAUGCCUCAAAUGGAAUAACUUCCAACAUCAAAGUUGUAGGUCUUCUAAAGACAAUCAAAAUGGACUUAAAGUUUUCAUCAUUUUGAUUUUUUAUGAAGAAGUUAUAGGCACUUGAAGUUGGACUUUUUUGCCUUUCAAUGCAUCUGGUCCAAAGUGACCUAUAAUGUUUAGCAUUAUCACAUGUGUUUUAUUUGAGAUUUUGAAAUUUUUUUCAACAUAACAUUUGAAUUAGACAUCGUAAGCGUUCCAAUGCAUUUGAUCCAACCUCAAAAUCAUAAAAAAUGAAUGGGUUAUGUUCUUGGGAAGUUGACCCAAAAUUAGGGUUUCAGUCAAAAUGACCUAUAAUGUCUUGGAAUGGGAGAUGACCUUCCAAGCUUCAAAUCAAUUUUUGAUGAACAUGAAAGUUGUUCAUAUUUUCCUUAAGAACAUUUUUUUUGACCCAAAAUUAGGGUUUCAGUCAAAAUGACCUAUAAUGUCUUGGAAUGGGAGAUGACCUUCCAAGCUUCAAAUCAAUUUUUGAUGAACAUGAAAGUUGUUCAUAUUUUCCUUAAGAACAUUUUUUCUCUGGGGAUCAUAUCCAUUUGACCAACCCAUAAAACGUUAGGUCUCAGUACAUUUCAAAAUAGUGAGAUGAAUUGAGUGAUCAACUUUCCAAGUCCAUAACUCACACCAUGAUGAAUUGAUAAUUGAGGGAACUCAAAUAAGUUCAAAUAUGCAUGAAAUGAUGAAUUAAAGAACUUCCCUUGAUUGUAUUUGAUCAUGGGCUGAGAUUGCUUCAUGGGCAAGGCACAUUUGAUACACAGAUGAAUUAGGGUUUCCUUGGGAGACAAACCUCAAACCCUUUGACUUGCUUUGAUCAAAAUGAUGGAUUGAGAUACUUGGGAGGCAUAUUUGAUGGAUGAGAGCUUUGGGAACCAUUACCAUGCUUGUUUUCAUCUUCUCUUGACCAUAUCUUUGCACAAAGGACCUCCUUGAAGCUCUUGACCUUGUGAUUGUGUUUUCAUCUUCUCUUGACCAUAUCUUUGCACAAAGGACCUCCUUGAAGCUCUUGACCUUGUGAUUGCUCAAGUUACAAACAAAAGAUGUUAGUGACAUAUUUUUGUGCUUUUGGUUAGUGAAUAAAAAUGAGAAGAGAAAUAAUAUACAAUUCAAGCAUACUUGGUAAUCUCAAACCACUCACAAGAGGUCCCACCCAUAGGCAAGGGGAACCAAGAUGCUUAUGAUCCUUGAGGCUUUGCAAAUGCAAUAUUAUGAGGCCAUGAGGGAUCUUAGGGACAAAAUUGGGGUCUUACACUGACGUCAAGUUUUUCCAUAGCUUGAUGGUCAUGAAUUUACCGCUACAGCAUGGUCACCAAACUUGGCUAGGCGUGCAUGUCUAUCACUCAAAUACUACGCAUCCUUGAGGAGAUUGAGUAGCAACGUGUGAUUAGGCCCAUGCAUAAGACUUUGCAGAAACAUUUAUUUCUGAUCAAGGAGGGCUUCGAGAUGACGGUUGUGUCGUUCCCAAUGAGAGACCUCUUGGUUAAGCUGAUUAAUAAUUUCUUGACUCUGUUGUUCUUGACUUUUCAACCCUCUAAUUUCUUCAAAAGAUUUAUCAAGAUCACAUUGACAUCGAGAGAGAGAGAGAGAGAGAGAGUCUCUCUCUCUCUUUCUCUCUCUCUCUCUCUCUCUGAGAGAGAGAGGGAGAGAGAGAGAGGCUUCAAGUUUUUUAGCACAACUUUGUUCUUUCUUCAAUUUCUCCUUGCAAUCCUUCAAUUGGUCUUGAAAUUAUUCGAGUUGAGCCUUGUAUCUUUCUUCUAUCUCUUUGCGAUAUUUCAAAUUUUGGUUCCAAAUAGUAACCGUCUUGGUAGAGAGACCAACACGGGUCUCCUUCAGAGCAUCAUCAAACUUCCUUCAUUUGUUAUGUUCCACUUAAGCAUCUUCAACCGCUUUGAGCAUGCGCUCCCUCUUCUGGUUGAGGUUAAUCUUCAAGUUUUCUUUCUCUUGUGUUAGCUUACUGAGAUCAAAUUGAAAAUCAUCAUUCUCCUUUUCUAACAACUUGAUAGUCUCUUUUAGAUUGUCAACUUCAGAGAUAGAAACAACAUAUGACCUAGGAGGCUUGAGACUCAUAUAAGGUUCCCAAGGAUAUGGUAGCUUGACAAUUUGGACUCUAACUUUAACCCAAUCUUUAUAUGGUCCCGAUGCAAUGCAAUUUUAUUUUCAAAGUUCCUUUUUCCCAAUAUGAUGGACUUUUCCCCAUGCACGACGUACUCUCUUUAGAAACUCAUAAUCAUCAACCCCUUUAGCUAUCAUAUAUUCUUCCAACUGUUUUUCUCCAUGCUUCUCUUUCAAUGAAUAACCAAGUUGACAUAGCAAAAGAACAAGACUGUAGUUGAUCAAUCCACCCCUAGCACCAAUAAGAGGCACAUUAUGAAAAUCACCACAACUAAAUAUGGGUUAACCCCAUCAUAGUCAUGACUAUACCAUACUAUGUCUUCGGUAUUCAGAGGAAUCAACCUUUAGGACCACUUUAACAUUUCCACAUCAUUGUAAAAAGGUCAUUUCCUUGGUAAAUGAGUCAAGUGCCACUUGUAAAGCAAAGGAACACAUCAAUUAGUCGUUUCACCCUUCUUAUUUAUCCAAUGGAAAGAGAAAUGGACAUCACCUAGAAGCGUGGGAACCAUAUUCUUGGUCAAGAAGAUAUUGAUAGAAACUUUAUCAAUGAAACCUUCAAUGUUCGGGAAAAGUACCAAACCAUAUAUGAGGAGAGAAAAUUUGGCAUAAAAAGCAUCCCAGGUUCCACUAUAUGCAAAUAGAGCGGCAUUUUCAAUGAGGAACUUUGAAGGAAACCCUAUGGUGUUACCUUUGGUAUAAAUAUUGGAGUCAACUACUUCCCUCUUGAGAUGAAGAGCUUGUGAAAUCGUUGGAGACUCUGGAAAACCAUAUGUACUCACUAAGGAGCCAAAACAAAAUCUUGGAAAGUAAAGCAAUGCAGAAUGCGAUCAUAGAACUGAUCAAAAGUAAGAAUCAACCUGGUGUCUUCCUUGGUUAAUAGAAUAUCCAACAAGUUGCAUAAGUCUUCUUAAAGGCAUCCAUGUGAUCAUAAAUCAAAAGAUCUCUAAGCUUCUUCAACUCAUCCAGACUAAGACUCCCUGGGUUUGUAUUGGUAAGUAUUUCUUCUUUCAGAUUUCUCCAUAAUUGAAUAAUCUACUAUGAAUGAUAGAUUAAGGAUUCCCUGAAAAUAUGCACAUGCUAAAAAAAUCAUGUGAAUAAAAUGAAAGUAUGUAUGUAACACCCAUUGAUUCAAAGAUUCAAAAUAUCCUGGAUAAUUUGUAUAUAUUGCUCGAAGUAGGUUCAAACGUUCGACGUAAACAUGACGAUGAAGGUAUGUAUGGUUUUGGUUUCCUGCAAAAACCCAAUAUCCCCUCACAAGUAGGUACUAGUCUUUAAAGAAGGGGGUCCCUAAAAAGGUCCCUAGAGUCAUGGACCCAUUUUGAGAUACAACUGUCUGGGACGAAUGAGUCGUUGAAUAGUAAUGCUCCCAAAAGGAUUUACUCUAGGUGUGACGUCUCAUGUUGACCCUGAUCGAGGCAUCACGCCAAGUAGGUCAACAUUACUAUUGCCACAUACUAUCCUGUUUGUAUACUCAAGCUUGGGAAUAUAUAGAGAAUAUACAAAUAUCUAACAUAUCAUGAAUAUUUAAAGCAAUAAAGAACGCAAUAAACAAAAUAAUGAUAAAGCAAGUAAAACAGUAAAGAUAAACACCCAAACAAACAAGGAAACAAAUAAAACUAGGCUUGGCUUUCUUAUGGACUCCCUAGCAGAGUCGUUAAUUCUCGCGCCGCAAAAAAUGCUUAAAUGCAUCGCAUGCUCGAAGAUAUAAUAGAUUUGCCACCGAACUUUAUUUAUUCCCGAAGGAAAAGGAAAAUAUUGAUAAAACCCAAUGGGAAGAGAAACGAGUAAUGGAGUCGGUUAUGCAAGGGGAAUGUAUUAGCACCCCUCACAUCCAUUGUACUCAACAAGAACCAUUUUGAUUGUUCUUUGCAUGAAUGGGUGUUAUUAUCUAAAGGUUACUUGUGAAAUGCUAAAAGGGAGAAAAAUAAGUUUAUUAAUUAGUGUGCUCGUUGUGGAUUCGAACCCCCGUGCCUACGUAUUCUCAUAGUGCAAUGAGAAAAUUAGAGCUCCGUAGUUCAUGGUAGAAAGUACAUAUGUGUUGGUUAAUUUUAGGGAAUCGUUAUAAUCGUAUCCUAGAAGUGUGUAGACGUUAGCUGAUUUUAAUCCUUGUUCGGAUGCUGUAAGCUUUUAGUCUGACUACUAAGGAACAAAUUAUAAUUGUUCUUUUAUGAAAAGAAAAAAAAUGUUUUGAAAAGGUUUGUGUGACAAAAGAAAAUAAAGAGUUGAUUGAACUAAAUUAAAUGAAUUGCUUAAAUUGUAAAGGAGUUUGGAGUGUAAUAAGAAGAGUAGGAAAAUGAGGAAAGUGUUGUAUGGAUGUAUAAAGAAGUUGUUUGUGUGUGGCGAAAGUAUUAUUUAGACCAUAGGUUAUGUCGUUUGAAUCCAUAUGGUAGGUGUGUAUGAACCAAAGAAUGUGUGGCAUUAACCAAUAAAUGGUGUGUCCAAUGUAAGGUUGUAGGAUUUUGCUUAGAUCCAAGGAUGAAGACCUACAAAAAAGGGGGUUCCCAGAGCAUGAAGCUUCACAGGGAAAUGCAUGAAUUUUUUCCAGAGCAUGAGGCUCCCCAGGGAAAUGUAUGAAGGCUGUCAGAGCAUGAGGCUCUACAGGGAAGUGCAUAAGAGUUUCCAGAGUAUGAGGCUCCAUAGGGAAAAUAGAAAAGAAAAGGGUUUGUCAAAGCAUGAGGCUCCACAUGGCAAUGCAGGAAAGGUUUUGUUUCAGAGAUGGGUGUUUGAUCAUGAGGUGCUUAACCCAAAGAAUGUAUAGAAGUCCAAAGAAUGUAGUGUUUGGUCUAAAUGGAAGUGCAUUGUUGGUGUUGAUUGUUAUAGUGUUUGGAUGUUGUCUAUGGAGAAGAAGACUUGGCAGUUAUUCUAUUUGAAUUGCACUAAAGUCUAUGAAAAGAGGAGAAUACUUUGAAUAACUAGGGCCUACACCCCAUACCCAAAGAUACUCAGAACAAGGAUAUGAAUAAUCACGCUCAUCCUUCUCUAUUGCUUAAGGCUCGUGGUGUACAAUUCACAUCAUGAUUGAAAAGUGUUGAAGAUGAAUCUUUUUGUUGUGCUUGAAUGUCUAGAGUCUUCAUCCAAUGAAUAAUUCCUCUCAUCCUUCUCUAUUGUAUGAUGUCCUAAACUUAUGUUUGAUUUGGGAUCCAAUGUGAUGCAAGUUCAGAGACCUGAUCCUAUCAAGUGAUCAAGGAACUUAUGAUCACCUGACUGGAUAGGGGGAUCAGAUAAAAUGUGAAGUGACUAACUGAUAAAAAUGACUUUGAUCGAUCAAUCAGGGAAUGGAUCAUGAUAUGAAAGCACAUGGAUUUUAUUUAGAAAAGUAAAAUCAUGAAGGAAAUUAAAGUAGUAACAUUCAUAUUAAUUUCUAAAAAGAAUUAACUAAAAUUAAAUGCUAAUAAAAAAGUGUAAUAUUAACAUAGACAUUAAUUUCUAAAAAUCUAAAUAUUAACAUGCAUUUUGAUUUUUAUAAUCUAAUUGAAAAUUAAUUCUAAACUAAACUUAAACAUGCAUUAACUAUUUUUGUUUCUAGUUUCGAGUAUUUUUCAUGUCAAAAUGGAACGUAUUAAAAAAUGUUAAAAGAACUAAAAUGAACUAAAAACUAUUAAAAUAUAUUAACAUGCAUUAAAGUGUAGAAAGAAAAAUUAAAAUGAAUUAAAAUCGAUUAUCAUGAAAAUUACUACCACAGAGGUGUGUAUACAAACCAGAAAGGAGUGUGGCCUAAAAACAGGGGUGUUGGGCCUAAUAGAUUGAGGCCAAAUGCAAAGUGUAAUUGUUGUGUUCAGCAGGAAGGUAUGUAGAGAAAAUAAUGGUGUAAAUGACAAAAUAACGGGCUUAAUGCCCUAGGCCCAACCGAAUUUGCUAUGGAGAAGAAAAAAAA
Molecule: long non-coding RNA, 80265 nt
Filed under: Lathyrus oleraceus (garden pea)
Lineage: Eukaryota; Viridiplantae; Streptophyta; Magnoliopsida; Fabales; Fabaceae
Description: Pisum sativum (pea) long non-coding RNA (PSAT_LNC031348)
Source: RNAcentral